Molecule: long non-coding RNA, 54847 nt
Filed under: Ananas comosus (pineapple)
Lineage: Eukaryota; Viridiplantae; Streptophyta; Magnoliopsida; Poales; Bromeliaceae
Description: long non-coding RNA (ACOM_LNC009807)
Source: RNAcentral
UGGAGUUCCCCGGAGCCCCGCCAUCUGGUGCACCCAUACCCAGCCGGACCGCCCGCCGGAAUACCGCCGGCGGCCAACCCUAGCUCCCCCUUCACUGUGAGUGUCCAUUUUUGCAGCCAGCACUGUUUUCCCACUUUCCGGUAGCUAUUCCGGCAAUCCGAAUGGUCUUUUUGACCUCGGGAAGUGAGCACGAUGAUCCUUAGGUCGUGCUGAACAUCGUGCUCACUUCCGUCGAGCCCUGAGAUGCCUUGGUUGCUCGGGCAACCGCGAUCUUCCUGCGGUGCGCGCUGCUUCGCUGACCUUCGCGUCGCUUAUGCGCGCACCGCAGUCGCCGAAUGUGCUCCGAAUGGUGAGCACGGUCUCCGGCACGCUGAAACCUAUCAGCGGGUACGACGGUUGACCCAGCGAACCUCGUAUCGCAGGAUCGGGCCUUAGAAACUGUCGAAAAUCGCAUAAAAUGAUAGAUUUUAGGGUUCAUGAUGUGCUUUCUUGCUUAUAACUUCGACUCGGUCGCUGUGGACAGCGUGUAAACGCUGAGGGUAACCUCUGGACUGAUCGUCCAAGGCCCCAAGCCACUGCGGAGAUCGAAAAGCCUCUUUCGGGGCGUUUCGUGGCGAAAUUCGUCGACGGAAUGCGAUCUUAGUUCGGUUUUUAUCCGACGAUGCCUCGGGAUCAGUUGUGAUGUCGCUAAGCCUUCUUGGCAGGUCACCCGUGUCGUUUCGGGGGUUCGGAAACGACGGGUGAGCGACUGGUGGGUCCCGGUGUCAAAAACGACACUUUCGGGAACCCGGUUCGAGACGUUUAGUCAACGAUGUCGGUUCCGAGGCGAAGUGUGGUGUCUGCUGCCAAUGUGGGUUAUUAUAGAGUAUUAGUGGCAGCGGUCGACUCCCAGUUGGAGUUGGGGAGUUCCGGGACAAUUAGUGGACCCCGGCGAAGCCCCGGUGUGAUAUUCGGGACACCCGAUGUGAUUCGGCAAUCGGUCUUGGGAAACCGAUUCCCGUGGUUCCUUGUUUUGGGGAUUUUAUAUUAGUUGCUGACAUUAGGGUUUCCUUCUGACCUAGUGGACCCUUCACUGUCCGGUUGCUCUGUUCCCCGCCAUCGUGAGAUCUGAUCCAGACUUGUACAAGUGGGUACUUCGAUCCGACGUUGGUACAGUGGUUCACGCUCGGUGAUGGUUUCUUACCCUUGCUCUUGUGUUAUUCUCCAUGCUUAUGUUAUAUGUUGAGCCUUGCACCUCUAUUGUUUGCAUUACACCCACGUUGUUUGAUUAUAUUCUACUCAGAUGUUUCCAUGCUUAGUAUCAUGUGUAGGAGUAUAGUCUAUCUGUAUGUGAUACCAUGUUUCCUUGUUGCUCUACUUAGCUAUUCUGCAUACCCUGUUUCAUAUUUAUAGUAGAGUGAUUCUGUGAUUAUCUGUGAGAUUAGCGAUCUAGUCGGUCGAUUCUAAUAUUCAGUAUUUGUGAAAUGAUUGGUCGAGUUUCAUAUCCCGUACUUGUGACAUGAUUGGUCGAGUUUCAUACCCUAUACUUGUGACCUGGUUGGUCGAUUUGGUUACUUGAUGACCCAUGCGGUCGAUGGGCCCUGGGGGGGGCAGGAUUGUCGGCUGGUUGCCGACGGUUGAUCAUUGAGCAUAUUGCAUUGAUUGCCCGAUACUCGUCGCAUUUCACGAACACUGGCGGUCUGAUCCACCGCAAGGAGUGUUCUUUUCCGGAAAAGUGGUUGAAUGGUGACAACCCGUGAGCCCUAUAGGGGUUAUAUGCACAUUAGAGCGGCAGUGGUACUGUCGGGAGGUGUUGCGGUGCGGACCUCCAGGGCAUUGGCUUGAGGUCUGCGGUGCUGACCAAGAGAGCAUUGGUUUCAGAUUGGGUACUUUUGGACUGACUGUCCCAUUGACGCAUAUGUCUAUAGUAGCAGUCGUUGCAUGCAUACUUACAGUUCUUUCUAUAUACUUGUUUUGCUACUAUAGAUUGAUACCCAGGUAUGUUUUAUAUUCAUGUAUACUUUCUGUUCCAGUUACAGUAGCGGUAGCCAUUAUUCAAUCUAGUUUCUACUCUCUUUCAGUUUAUUGCUACCGUAUUCAGUAUAUCUACUCAUUACCUUAUUAUUGUUGCUACUAUGUUUCCACUGACCCGUGUUGUUGUAUAGCUCUUCCUGAUCCGGUGAGUACUCCUCGCCUUCUUCGGCUUGCGGUACCCACUGGGAGGGGAGACAUGUUUACAUGUUCUCACCUCCCCCACCAUUUUUCAGGUAUCGCGGGCGAUGAAUAGUGGGACGAGAUGUGAGGUACGUGUGUAGCGGUCGAUAGAGCCUCCGACCCAGGUUAUUUCGGUAUAGUUAUUACCCUUAUUAUUUCAGUUGUGAUAGCUUAGAUAGUUAUGGUUCAGUAUUUUUAUUACAUUUGAAAAUAUGGGUUUUCGUGAAUGUAAUAAAUGGAUUUCUGGAUUUUGUGAAAUAAAAGAUUUUCUACCCCUCGUGGUAGCGUUUUUAAAGAAUAAAGAUUUCCGUAUAGAAAACAGUUUUCAAAAGGUUUUCUGUGGAUUUUGCAUCUUAGUAUUUCAAAACCUGUUUCUGUGGUUGGAAACUUUUUAACUGAUAGAUGUGGAUUUAUGUUUAAAUAUCGAAUAUAUAAAUGUGAACCUGUGAUGUGAAUGGUGUAUGAAUAUAUAAUUGUUGGUUAUUUGUAUGUUCAUUUGAUUGUGGUUGUACCUGGGUUACUUCUUGUACUUGUGUGACGCCGUGCAAAUACAGGGGAGACUCUGUCCGUGUGAACAGUGGAUUCUCUGUGUUUGUGGCGGAUCUGGCAUACUCUGGGGUCAGGCUUUUCAAAAAAAAAAAAAAUUUUUUACGCUUUUCCGCUAUGUUUUAAACUAAAAGGGACCCCGGGGCGUGACAGUGUGAAACCACAUGAGGGCAUUUGAAAUUUACCGAUAAAUAAAAAUAGGAAAUAAUAUUUUGAGUGUUCACGUCUUUUACACCAACCGUAGUGUGAAACAACCGUUGUUAGAUAACGGUGUUUAAACAUUUUAUAUUUAACACUUCCCAUCACAUCUGGGCUCGAGACUUUUUAAUCGGCCCAUGACGUGGGCUUGAAUUAAAUAUAAGGAAAUUAAUAUGUUAGGAGCCUAGCGUGAUUCGAACUCAAGAGCUCCUGCUCAGAUACCAUGUGAAACAACCAUUGUACUGUAAAAGGUUAAGCUGUUAGAUAACGAUGUUUAAACAUUUUUAUAUUUAACAUGUAGGGUGUAUUUAGUUUGCUAUUUUUUGACUCUAAAAUUAGAAUCAGAAUAAAUUUAAUAUCAUUUAUUGGUAUUUGAUAUCAAUCUCGUUCAGAAUUCGAUUUUCAACUCGAAUGAAAAUGCCCUCAUUCUCUGUUUUCUGAUCAAACUCAAAACACUGGAUUCAAAUUUCAAAGGGAAAACUUCAAAAACCCCCCUGUGGUUUCAUGCAUUCUCACUUUCAUACCCUGUGGUUUAAAACGUAUCAAUUUGCCCCCCUGUGGUUUCAUUUUUCUCUUUUUGUUAUCAAUUUUAUUAUUUUUUUUUUCUUAAAUCAGUGACAAAAUUAAAAUUAAAGGAUACUAAAGUGAAUAUUCGAUAAACAUAGAUGGUUAUCUGAAGUUUUUUGUAUAUAAUUUAACGAAAUAUUAACGAAAAAGCUUCUGAAAAGAUAAAAACGAAACCACAGGGGGGCAAAUUGAUACGUUUUAAACCACAGGGUACUAAAGUGAGAAUGCAUGAAACCACAGGGGGGGUUUUUGAAGUUUUCCCAAUUUCAAAUGAACUUUUAACUUUUAAACAAAAGAAAAUGGUUUUUAAAUUUCAUUUUAGUUAAAUUUUGAUUCGAACAUGAAUUUGAGUUCGAUUAUACAUUUUGAAUUUGCAUAGGAAAUAAAGUUUUGAAGUUAGAUCAAAUUAAUAUACUAAGAUCUAAUUAUAAACUCAAAUUUAUAUGCAAAUUAUAAACACAGACUGUGGAUUUAAUUAAAUUUAAAAUUUUAAUUUUUAAUUAAAUGAUAAUGCAAAACUAAAUUUGUUUAGUACAUUUAUUUUUAAUUUUGAACUUAAUUUCACUGCAAUUUGUAAUAGAUUUUUUUUUAUUUUAUUUUUUUCAAAUUUGACUUUUCAGCUUCAAUUUAGGAUUGAAUUUUAAAUUAAAUUUAAACUAUUAAAUUUGAAUUAAAAUUGCCAACUCAAUUUUACAUUUUAAAUACUGAAUCGAAUGUAAUGCACUGAGUUUUCACAAAGAGCAAUGUUUUACUGAGAAAUAGUAAUGAAAACUUUAGGCAACUUGAAUAGUGCUUGGGAAACAUUAAAGUCUAUUUAGCACGAAAACGGCACGAAAACGAAUUUUGAAAAGCUAAAUCUGUAAAAUUGCAUAUUUUCAUUUAGUACCGAUACUGGCGUAGAGUACUGGUACUCAGCUAUAAGGAAGCUUGUUGAGCUCUCGGAUUUUGUGGAACUUUUUCGAGUGUCAGUAUUGAUUCGCGAAGUAUCGGUACAGAACCAACGCAUAUCUGCACACAAUAGAGUACACAGAAAUCCAAUAUUUAGAUUUUGCGGAACUGGCCUAGAGUACUGAAACACAUAAAUAGCGUAUUGAUACUAAAGCCCGCAUACCAGUACACAACUAUACGGACAGUAGGUUUUGACUAGUUGCAAAUAUAAAUGAUUAGAUGGUUUAGUUGCAAUUAUGCCAUUUCUAUAUACAAUCUUAUCUGGGACAUGUUUGGUUGGCGAAAAGUGAAGCAUCAAAAAUAGCAAUUUUGAAAAGUAACAUUUUAUCGGUUGUUUUAUUUGCGAAACUGAAUAUGAAAGUUACUUUAUAAAAGCGGACUGGUAAAAUGAGUUAUAACUAAAUUCACCUUUUUUUUAUUUCGGCUCGAAAAAUUGGAAAGUCACCGAAAGAAGAGAACAUAACUAAGGGUUUAUUUUUGAUCAUAAUUUUAAUCUUUGAAUUUGUUUUUAAAAAUGAAUUUUACUUUUAAUUUGAAUUAAAAUCACGAAUUUAAUUAAUUCCACAUCUCAAUUUUAUUUGUAAAUUCAAAUUCAACAUUAUAUAUAAAUUUAAAUUUUCAAAAUUUUAUUUUUAUUUAAGUCUGAAUUCCAGAAUUCAAAUUUAAAUUUUUAAAAUUUGAAUUUGAAUCAAAUUAUUUUUAGCUAAAAACCUCAGUCUGAACUUUUGAAUUCAAAUUUUUUCAACUAUAAUUCAAUUAUUGACUGAUAUUUGACUUUAAAAUUUAAAUUGUUAAGCUGAAAUUUAAAUUGAAAUUUAAGUUUUCUAUUUAUAUUUAAUUUCAAUGAUGCGUUUUAGUUUGAACUUUGAAUUCAAAUAUUUAGUUUGAAUUAUGAUUUAAACUUGAAUUUAAAUUUAAAUUUAAAUAUUAAUUCAAAUUGUGAAUUCAUUUUUCAGAAUUUAAGAUCAAAGAGUAAAUUAAAAUAUGAUUCAAAUUAUAAAUUUAAAUUUAGGUAAUUUUUUAAUUUUUAUGUUGAACUUUUAUUUUAGAAUUUAAUUUUAGUUGUAAGUUAUAACUUAAACUUUAAAUUCAAAUUGUAAAUCCAAUUUAUUUGUUGAAUUUUUAUUAUUAAUUCAAUUUAGAUUUACGUUUAAAUUUAAAUUUUAAAAAUAUAAUUUUGAAUUCCAAAUAUAAAUUUAAAUUUAAAAAUUUUAAUUUUAAUUGUAAAUAUAAGUCGUUUGUUUAUAUUUUCAUUUCUCUAUAUAUAAUUAAAGAAUCCAAAUUAUAAAAAUAUAUUUUUUUAUAUUUCACUUUGUAACCAACCAAAUAAUCGAAUUGACAGUUACUUUUGCAAAAAUGACUUUUCUCACUCCAGUCACUUUCAUACAACCAAAGAUGCCCUCAACCAAAUACUCUCUUCUCUCACUUCUUUUCUUUACCGUCUCUGUUCUUUCUCUCUCUAAAAGGAAAGAAACCUAGCUCAGCCACGUUGUUGGAUCGCUUAGAUCCAUCUUAUUGGAGGCUUAUAGGAGAUCAAGAGCAUCACGAAAAACUCUAAGAGGAAGAAGAUGACCAUUUCAACCCACGUUUCUCUUGUUUGAAGGAGAAGUGAUGAGUUAAAAUUUUCAGUAUUUGUUUUUAGAAAUUUUUCCGAAUAGAAAAUUUAGAAGUUCUAACUUAAUUAAGACUUCUUUAUUAGGAUUUCUUGAGAUUCUAGAGAGACCAAAAAGUAUCUCCUAGGAGUAUCCAAGAGAAGGUGGAGAAUAUUAUCGAAAUGAGUUUGAUCUCCCAUUUGUCUAAAGUAUUCUAUAUAUCCAUAUACAAAGUAAAGAAUAGAGCAAAUAUGUUUAAUUUGUAUGCUAUGAAAUUUAGAAGCACAAGAGAGCUUAAUUGCAUUUGAACUUGAAAAAUAAGGUAUUUAAUCCCUUCGUUAUGUUAAAAGAAAAGUAUAUGUUAUAUGUAUAUAAAAUAUCAUAUGAACUUGGAACUUAGAUGACAUAGUAGUGACAUGAAACAAGAAAGGAACCUAGAAAAUAAUCAAAUACAGACAACUAUGUGAACGUGAACUAGAAAAUAAGAAAAUUUGUAAAUGAGCUUAGUGGAUAACCCCAUAAGUCAUGAAAACGUAGGGUGUGAACUAAGAUACAAGUCGCAACCUUCUGGAAGUAUUAUAUUAGGAGAUGUCGAUUUUUCUUGACUCUCUACUCUGUAUUGGGAGACCGAUUACCGUCGACUCCCUAUGUUGUAUUUGGAGAUACCGAUUUUCUUUGACUCGAAGUGCCUACUAAUUAUAGAAAUGUCAAUUGUUUUUUACUCUCUACGAAGUGUUUAGCAAGAAGUGGAACAAAACCAAAGAGAUGGUUGGAGACAAGAAAUGAUUUGGGACAAUUUGUUAGCGUAAAGGGGUCAGCAUACUGCCAUGUGGCGGGAGGCUAAGUUGGGCCUAGUCAUGUUCAAAAUGGCGGAAAGUUGGGUUGGGUCGAAUCAUGUACGAAGUGGUAGGAGGCUGGUUGAACCGAGUCACAAUUGAAACCUGUAGGUACUAUGUGUACGCUUUAAGUGAAUCGGCUACACCUUUCCAAUAGCUUGAGCUUUUGGAAUUAAUACUUAAUGUGUGACGCUCCGCUUUCUAGGGGGUCAUCCAUUCUAGAACUAUUUUAACCCUAACACGCUUAACCUUCCUAACUUUUUAGGUCUAACCAUUGCCAAAAAUACUAUAACUUCAUUAAGAAGUUUAGUUCUGUUAUAUCGUAUAUAAAUAUAUAUAGAGUGAGUCUACUAUGCUAUCGGAAGCACGGAGCCUUCUGUGCUUCCAGCUCGUUUUCGAUGUUGCGACUUUCGAAUCGUCGAUCAGCUCCGUUAAACUUGAUCUAGAGUAUUUGAAGUACCUAGAAAAUAAAUUUUAUAAUUUUACGAUAUCAUUUGCCUAGUGAACGAAGGGGCUCAAACAUUAACGGCUGAAAAUAAAAAUCUUACAAAAUGUAAUAAUAUGACAUUAAAUUUUAAAUCAAAGAUAUUGAUCUUGUUUUAUAUGUAUAAAGAAUUUUCUAUCAAAAUUUCACGUGAUUCGGAUAUUUCUACACCGUUAAACUUGCAAACGGCUCACUACGACCAUUGAAAUUUGUUUGAUUUUGAGCCCAUUCGAUCAUAGGCAAAUGAUAUCGAAAAAUAAUAAAAUUUAUUUUCUAGGUACUCCAAAUACUCUAGAAUCAAGUUUAACGAUGCCGUCGAUGAUUCGAGAGUCGGAACAACGAAAACGAGCUGGAAUCACGGAAGGUCACGCUUCCGAUAGCAUAGUAGUAAUUUUACGAUAUCUUGCCUAGUUAACGAAGGGGCUCAAAAUCAACGGCUGAAAAUAAAAAUCUUACAAAUUAUAAUAAUAUGACAUUAAAUUUAAAUCAAAGAUAUUGAUCUUGUUUAUAUUAUGUAUAAGAUUUUCUAUCAAAAUUUCACGUGAUUCGGAUAUUCUACACCGUUAAACUGCAACGGCUCACUACGACCAUUGAAUUUGUUGAUUUUGAGCCCAUUCGAUCACUAGGCAAAUGAUAUCGAAAAAUAAUAAAAUUUAUUUUUCUAGGUACUCCAAAUACUCUAGAUCAAGUUUAAGCGGCCGAUCGAUGAUUCGAAAGUCCGAACAUCGAAACGAGCUGGAAGCACGGAAGGCUCCGUGCUUCGAUAGCAUAGUAGUCUCACUCAUAUAUAUAUAUAUAUAUAUAUAUAUAUAUAUAUUAUAUAUAUAUAUAUAUAUAUAAUAUUAUAUAUAUAUAUAUAUAUAUAUAUAUAUAUGACUAUUCUAAAUCCUAGAGAUAUCACAUAUUCACAUAACACUAACGAAUAACGAUCCGACACCAUCGUGUGGGUCAAUGAGGUCAAUGACUAUAAUAUAUCACUGUGGCAUCUAGUUAUUUCAUUUGAGGUAUAGUAGUUAUAUUUCUUUGUGUACGUCUCUGGUAGUAAUGGUAGUUCAUUUGUUACUAAUGUUUUACUAAUGUCUCGUUUGGACCAAAUGAUAGUAUAUAGGCCACUUUUCGGGCAGUUGUAUUCACAGGAAAUUUAUUUUAAGUUCUCACCCUAUUACCAAUCGUCCCUAGCUCAAGUGGCGAAAGGGUUUGGUGGUUGGUAUUCGAGACCCAAGUUCGAAUUCUAGUUGAUUCACAUUUUUAGCCAAGUUUAUUUCUAAAUAAAAUAAACGAAGCGGGUAGCAUAACUACCUUUCCCUCAAAAAAAAAAAGUUCUUACCCUACUGUACUUGUUGUUUUCAAAAUUAUCCUCUGCCAGUGAGGUGCGUGGUCGCAGCAACGGCUUCGCAAACUAUAUAGACUGUGGCUAGUCGGUCUAAAGGGUACCCACUUUAUAUGUUUAACACUAUGAAAUUUUUUUUGGGGAGUAAUGUAUUGUAAACCUUAAAGAGAUUGAAUUUGUGAUAGUUUUAAAUUAAAACUAUAGAUACUCUGAUGCUAUACUGUACUUAUAUCUCAUAUGUAUUAUGUAAAUUGGUGUAUGUUUCACUUCGCACUAAUAGGAGAAAUCUUGUUCGUUCGACUGGUCUGUCGUACGUGCUCAAGCAGGUUCAUUGGGUGGGUUUCAGAGCGUGACAUCGAAAGUUUUGGAUAAAAAUUAUAAGUUUAUUUUUUUGUUUGAUUUAUGGACUAUUGGGCUCAAAUAUGCAAACGAAAAACAGAAAAUGAAACCCAAGUUACAUUUACACUUAAGUCGAAGUCCAAAAUUGAAGUUAAAGUUUACAUAAGAAAUUUAAAAACUGCAUUAUCAUUGAAGGAAAAAAGUAAAAUUUAAUUUUAAUUUGAACUGCAAAUUUAUGUUUAUAAGUUGAAUAAAACUUUAAACUUAAAUUUGUGUUCACGAUUUAAACUUAAAAUUUGAAUUUCGAAUAAUGAAAUAUUUGGCAAGACUACAUAAUAUUCUAUCGAAUUAUUACAAAUAUUAUUAAGUUUAGACGAUGAAUUAAAACAUCGACCGUUCAAAUAAUUAUUUUGAAAAUAUGAUAAUAUUAGAUAGUAAAAUCGAAAGUCGUUCUAAAAAUUAGCUUCAAAAUAUGGAGUAGCUAUGUUGAGAUUGUAGACCUUUGGCUCCAUUUUGCUCAAAGGCUUUGGUUAUUUUUUUUGCUUGUAUUAGAAUUGAGCAUAUUUGACUUUGAGGGUGUGUUUGGUUCGCAUUAUGAAAGAUUACUAGGAAUGAAAAGAUGUCCGAGAAUCUUAUUCCUAUUCAUCCUAUUAUUAAGAAUGUGGAUUCCUGUGUUUGGUUCGCACGGUAAUAUUAUUUAGCCAUAUUAUUUAAUAUUACAAAAAAUAUACAAUUUAUUUAUUUAUUUUUUAAUUAAUUUUAGAUAAUGCUACUAAAAGUUUCAACAUCUUUUUAGAAAAAAGAGGGAAAGAGCAUAAUUUAGAGAGAGAGAGAGAACAUAAUUAAAAAAAUAGAAAAAGAUAUAGAGUCGAAAUUAGAGGGAGUAAGAGAAUUGAAAUUUUAGAAAGAGAGAGAAAAAGCUUAGUUUAGAGAGAGAAAAAAAAGUUAAAUUUUAAAGAGAAAGAUAAAUUUAGAUAGAGAUAUGAGGUUAGAAUGUAAAGAAAAAUAAUAUUAAUUAGCCGGCGGGUAGGGAGAAAGAAAGAGAUUAGACAUAUUAUGAUUACCCAAAUCCAUUAAUAUGAGAAUACCCAUCCUCCCUCAAGGGAAUAAGAUUAGUACUUUGGGGUGAAUCUUAUUCCCAAGUGAAUCCAAUAUUACCAACUAGAUUACUUAGUGUGUUUAGCCAAACACCGUCAUAUUUUUUAUUCCUAUUGGAUUACUAGGAAUCUCUAAAAGAUAGCGCGAAUCAAACGCACCCUGAUUGUCAUUUGCCAGGCAUCUACAAUGCUGUUUUGGAUGUGGUGUUUGUUUAAGUUGGAGUGAGUUCUCGGCUUCUUAUUUGUUGCUCGCUAGUUAGUCACCGUUUCAGACACUCAUUCCUUUUCAGCAAUAGAGCUAAGAAACGAGACCCCCUGUGGUGUUUGUUUCGUGAAGUUACUUCUCAGUGGGCAAGGCGUACGUCUUAAGUGGGUUGCUGGUUUGGCAGCCUUCGUCGACCCCUCGGUGAUUCAUGUUUCUAUAGAAUGCGCAAGACAUGACUCAGAUGAAAAGCGCACUAAUAAAAACACACGUAAAGAUUUAACCGCUGUCAGCUAUCGCUUUAAAUGUAACUAAUAUUGAUUGGUGGCAUACAUGGUAGCAGGAACUCUGGAUCCAGGGCAAAUUAAGCAAGUAAUUAUACAAUGAGAUUAAUAAGCAUUAAUAUCUUAUGUGUGUACAGCAUCAUUGUUCAAAUGUAGGAUUUCUACAGCUGGGCCACAAGUAUCUUGGGUCUGGGCUCCAAGUACUUUUAACUCUCUUGGGCUUUUGGUUUGGGCUGAGCCUAAUUAGGGCCUUUUUUUUUUUUUUUUUUUUUCAUCCAUCUAGGCCUUUAGAGCUGGUUUUUGGGCUUAGGGUCUGUCCAAAUAGAAAUUGUUACGACAUUCAUGACAUGAUGGGUUCUGCCUGGAUCUGGCAAUCUCUGCCCUAACUCGUGGGUAUUCGCAAAUUUAUGGAUAUGGAUAUUAAUUUCUCCUACCCAAAAUAUUAUGGAUAAAAUGGGUGGAUACCACUUUAAGUUAUUGACAUUUUGUACAACCUGCAGGUAUCUACAGUACCUGUAGGUAUAUGUAUAUAUUAUAUAUAGAGAGAGAGAGAGAGUUUUGCUAGAAUACUAUCGAUAGUAAACAGCUUAGUUUACUAUACCAAUUUGUUUUCAAUGAUAGAGCUUUCAAAUUGACGAUCGGCACUGUUAAACAUGAUUUAAACCAUUUAAACUAUCUGAAAAUUAAAUUUCACGUAUUUUCGAUAUUGUUCUCUUGUCCAUCAAGUGAACAAAUUAAAAAAUGAAUGGCGAAAAAUAAAUAUCCUUCGAAAAAUGAUGAUAUAAUUAUGUAUUUAAGAUCUACAGUCUAGAUCUUGUUUUAAAUGUUUUAAAAAAUUUUUAACAAAAAUUUAGUUGAUUUGAACUCUUCUAUACUGUUAAACGAGCAAAUGCACCAUAUCGGCCAUUCAAAUUACAGAUUUUGUGACCCUUUGAUCGUUCGGUUAGGGAUGUUAGAAAAUUAUGAAAUUUGAUGUCUAAAUAGUUUAAAUGGUUUAGAUCAUGUUCAAUGAUUCCAAUUGUCGUUUUGGAAGCUCUAUCAUAAAAAAAUAAAUCGGUAGUAAACCGAGCCAUUUACUACCGAUAGUAGCUCAAUCAAGCUCUCUCUCUCUCUCUCUCUCUCUCUCUCUCUCUCUCUCUCUCUCUCUAUAUAUAUAUAUAUAUAUCUCUCUCUCUCUCUCUCUCUCUCUCUCUCUCUCUUUAUAUAUAUAUAUAUAGUAGGGCUACUAUACUCUUAUGAGUAUAGAGACUUUCGUACUCAUAAGUUGUUUUUGAUGAUGGAACCGUUAAAUAUGAUCUAGAGUAUUUGAAACUUAUAGAAAAUAAAUUUAGCAAUUUUUCGAAAUCAUAAUAAAUUCCAUCAAACUGGCAUAAAAUGAACAGUUAAAAUCAAACGACGUCUUAAAAAUGGAUGAUUGGAUCCUUCAAUUUAAGAUCGGAGUUAUCGAUCUUUAUCUAGAUAGUGAAUAUAAUUUUCUAUCAAAAAUUCAAUCUAUUCCGAUUUUUUUAUACCGUUAAAUUAGCAAGUAUCNAUAAUUUUCUAUCAAAAAUUCAAUCUAUUCCGAUUUUUUUAUACCGUUAAAUUAGCAAGUAUCCCAUACCGGCCGUUAAAAAUUGUCAAUUUUGAGAUCUUUUGAUCGCAAGGUAAAUGAUGUCAAAAAAUUAUGUAAAUUUAAUUUAUAAAAGUUUUAAAUGUUCUGGAUAAUGUUUAACGGUAUUGAUCGUCGAUUCGGAAGCUCUAUCAUCGAAAACGACUUAUGAGUACGAAGGCCGGACUCUCCCUCUCUGUGUAUAUAUAUAUAUAUAUAUAUAUAUAUAGUUGAGCUAGUAUACUAUCGAUAGCAAACCGGCGCUUUUGCCACCCAUUUGUUUUCGAUGAUGGAGCCUCCGAAUCGACGAUCGGCACCGUUGAACAUGAUCUAUACCAUUUGAAGUAUUUAGAAAUCAAAUUUUAUACAUUUUCGAUAUUGUUCUCUUAUCCAUCGAGUGGACAUAAAAAUGAUGAUAGGAGUCUUGUAAUCAAGAUCAAGAGUAUAGAUCUUGUUUUAAAUAGUUUAAAGAAUUUUCUAACAAAAAUUCAAUUGAUUUGGAUAUCUUUACGCCGUUAAACGAGAAAACGCCUCAUAUCGACCAUUAAAAUUACAAAUUUUGAAAUCCUUUGAUUAUUAGGCAAAUGAUGUAGAAAAGAUUGAAAUUUAAUUUCUAAACAAUUCAAAUGGUAUAGAUCAUGUUCAACGGUGACGAUCGUUGAUUUGGAUGCUCCAUCAUCGAAAAUAAAUGGGUGGCAAAAAUGCCGGUUUGCUAUCGAUAGUAUUCUAGCUCAACUAUAUAUAUAUAUAUAUAUAUAUGCCAUGGCUAUUAUACUAUUAUGAGUAUUUAGGGGUGGAAACGAGCCGAGCUCGAGCGAGCUUAUGUCAGCUCAAAUUCGGCUUGAAAUUAAUUUCGAGCCUAAAUCUAGGCUCAAGCUCGGCUUNAGCGUGCUAUAUUUCUCUAAAAAAAUAAUACAACAUGUGAAAACUCCAAUACAUUGUAUAAUAUUCUCAGAAAUAGUGAAUGAUCUGAAAUGGACCGAACUUGUACAAAUAUGUUGCAUUUUGUGUGCAAACUCCGCAAUGUUUUGUAAGUAUCUUUUAUAUUUUUUAAAAUCAAAUUAUUUCAAUCACACUUAUUAAUUUUUUUUUAUUUUGAAAUGGUUCAGUCUUGACAAUGGCCCCCAGCAGUGAAUUUUAUGGCAGGUCUCUAAGUUUGGAUUAUCAUAAUUUUUUUUUGACAACGAUAAAAUUAUGAUGCUAUAUCUUAUAAUAAAAAAAUUGUCUUUACCGAAAAAUUAACUAUUCGGUGAACAACAUUUAAAACAGAAGAGUGAUUGAAAUGAAAAUCUGAAGAACAUCUUUAAUUAUGCACACGAAGUUCUAAAAGAAUGUACUUAAUAUUCUAGUAUAUGUGUAUGAGAGUUAAAGAGAAUUUUUCUUUAUUUGUUACAGUUAUAGAUAUAUUUCGAGUUAAGAGAAUUUUAUUUGUUUAUUACGGUUAUUAAUAUAUCAUAAAGAGAUGCCACUUCCAAAAAUAUUGAAAAUUUCUACGCAAUUUUCAUGACUAUUUUUGCAUAUCGGAUAAGACAAUUGCCACCCACCUAAAAGUAUAAACUAUAUAGUAUUUUGUUCUAAAAAAUAUAUUAGUAAUAUCGUAAGGUACAAAUCAUAUAGUAUUUUGUUUUAAAAAAUAUGUUAGUAAUAUAUUUGCUUGUUUUAAUUGAGUAGAGCUAGAAUACUUUUAUAAGUAUCACCCGAGUGAUACUUGUGUGUUUUUAGCCCUUGAAUUGAGAGAUGUGAGGUUGAAAUGAUGAGGGUAGGUGGUGGUAGGUGGUGGUAGGUGGAAUAAUGUUUGAUCCAAGGGCUAUUUGUAAUCAAAAAGUAGAUCCAAUGGCUAAAAACGUGAUAGCAACAUGAGGAUGAUACUUGUAAAAGUAUCCUAGAUAAACUAUAUAUAUAUAUAUAUAUAUAUAUAUAUAUAUAUAGGCUAGGGCUAUACUCUUAUGAGUAUAGAACACUUUGUAUUCAUAAGUUGUUUUCAAUGAUGGAGCUUCCGAAUCGACGAUCCACUCCGUUAAAUAUGAUUUAAAGUAUUUGAAACUUCUAGAAAAUAAAUUUCGUAAUUUUUCGAAAUCAUAAUAAAAUUCAUCAAGCGGGUAUAAAAUAAACGGUCAAAAUCGAACGACGUCUUAAAGAUGAAAAAUCGGAUCCUUCAAUUUAAGAUGGGAGUUAUUGAUCUUUAUCUACGUAGUGAAUAGAAUUUUCUAUCAAAAAUUCAACUGAUUUCAAUUAUUUUACACCGUUAAACUAGCAAAUAUUCGAAACCGGCUGUUAAAAAUUAUUAAUUUUGUGACCUUUUGAUCGUAAGGUAAAUGAUGUCGAAAAAUUAUAAAUUUUGAUUUUUAGACGUUUUAAAAACUCUAGAUAACGUUUAACGGAAUGGAUCGUCGAUUCGGAAGCUCUAUCAUCGAAAACAACUUAUGAGUUUGAGGGCGAUCGUACUCAUAAGAGUAUAGUAGCCCUAGCAUAUAUAUAUAUAUAUAUAUAUAUAUAUAUAUAUAUAUAUAUAUAUAUAUAUAAUUGAGCUAGAAUACUUUUAGAAGCACCAACCUCUUGGUGCUUCUAAGUUUCUAGUCCUUGGAUUUACUUCUUGAUUACUAAAAGUUUUUGGAUCAAACACUAUUUCACUUACCACCACCUACCACCAUCAUCUCAACCCUACAUCUCUCUAUCCAAGGAUUAAAAACUCAAAAGCACCAACCCCAUGGUGCUUUUGAGAGUAUUCUAGCUCAACUAUAUAUAUAUAUAGCAGGACUACCGUGCUCUUAGGAGCACGGAGGCCUUUGUGCUCCUGAGCCGUUUUUGAUGAUGGAAUUUUCGAAUCGACGAUCGGCUCUGUUAGACUUGAUCUAGCGUAUUUGAAGUUUCUAGAAAAUAAUUUUUGCGAUUUUUCGAUAUCAUUUAUCUAGCAAUUGAAAGUAUUCAAAAUCAAUAAUUUUUAAUGGCUGAAAAUAAAAAUCCUAUAAAAAGUGGUGAUAUAGCACUAAAAUUUUCGAUCAGAAAUAUUGAUCUUGUUGUAGAUAGUAUAAAGAAUUUUGUAUCAAAAUUUCAUUUGAUUUGAACACUUCUACACCGUUAAACUUGAAAACGACAGAUAUCAACCAUUAAAAAUUAUGAAUUUUGAAUCUUUUCGAUCAAAAUUUUUUACAAUGGGUUAAAAUUACUUUAAUUCAAACAAUAAUGAGAAAUUUAAUUAUUUAAUAGGCUGAAUUUUAUAGGAAUAAGUUAACGCUAUAUUUAGAAAGUAAUGGAAUCCACUUACUUAUAUCAAAACAAAUAAUAAAACUCAAAGAGCUAAUUUUACGAGCUAAGUUACAUCAAAACAAAUAAGAGAAGUGAUUGAAGUUAACUUUCAGACUGUAUAAAUUACGUUAAAACAAAUAAUAAAAAAUAACUAUACUUCAUAAAUACUCAAACACCACUGAACUUAAGUUAUGCCGGAUCUAAAAAUUCGUCAAUCCAAACGCCUCCUUAUUUGAAAUCCUCGAAAUCAACGAAUUGGACGGAAUAGAAAAUCGGGAUUCGUUAAAUUUCUUAUUUGGACGUAUUAGUAAUUGCAAUUUGACUAGAUUUCAGAUGAUUUUAAUUUUUCUUUCGUAUGAAAACAUAAGUAAAUAGAGUGAUUCCAGGUUACAUUUGUCAUGAUCUGUUUUUAUUUUAUGAUAUUUGCCGUGCUACGCAAAUUGUUAUUAUAAUGUAUAUCAAUAAGUUAAAUAUAUCUGCAGAUAUCAAUCGCUAUCCAUAUUCACGAGUAUUCGUUGGUUACCCGCAAAUUUACGGGUAUAGAUAUUAAUUUUUUUGAUCCAAAAAAUUAUGAGUAAAAUGGGUUGGUAUCUGUUAAGCGGUGUGUAUUUUGAGCAACCUGCAAAAUACCCACUGAUACCUGCAUAUAUAUUUUUUAAAUUAAAAAAUACAUAAUCUUUAUAAUGCUGACUCAAUAAUAAUGAAAAUUUUAUUAAUUUUGUAUCGUGAAAGUUUAGAAUGAUAAAUACUUUUAUAUUAUGUAAUUUAUGCGUUUUAAAAUUUUAUAUUGUUUAUUGUAUAUUAUGAUAUUUCAAAUAAAAAGUUACGUUAUGUUUUUAAAAAUUAUAUAUAUAUGUUUUGUAUUUGAAAAGUAUAGUAGUAAAAAAGAAAAAAAAUCUUCCGGAUAAUCCGCAUACUCACCCGCCCGCCUAUGAAUGGGUAUAGGUAAAAAUGUUUACUAUUUCAAAAUUUAUGGGUAAAUUUUUUCCAUAGUCGUAUGGCCCGCAAAUACAGUGAUCUACCCGCGAGUUAUCUAACCCAAUCGUUUGCCAGGUCUAGCUAAGUCCCCUUUGUCGUAAUAUUUAGGUUAAACUUCAAAUACCACCCAUAUAAUUUUACACUUUCUCACUUUAAUUAGUAUCAUGUGAUUUGAAGUGUAUCAUUUUAGUAUCUCGUGGUUUUAUUUUUCUGUUUUCAUCAACACCUCCGUCAACGCUGUAUUAAAUCACAUAUAAAACCUUCAGAUACCUCACCUAUGUUUUAUCGAAUAUAUUUAAUUUAGUACUCUAUGGUUUACCAAAUUUCACUUUAGUACUCUGCAUGUGGUUUUAACUUUGUCGCGGAUUUAACAAAAACAUCGGUAGUAAAAGAGUCCAAAUAUUAUUAAUAGUAUUCCAGCUCAACUCUCUCUCUCUUUCUAUAUAUAUAUAUAUAAGUUUUUUUUUAUAAUAAAUAACAUAUAUAGGUAUUUAAUAUAUAUAAAAUAUAGUUAUAGUAAAAUGAUAUAUCUUUGCAAAAAUGUGUAAGCAUAAGAUUACUGAUCUGUACACUUCUGCUCCUUGAUUUUUUUUAUAUUUUUUAUUUUUUUAUCUGCUUUAUUUGCUUGAAUUAUUUCUUUUGCUAAAAUUUAGUUCCGUCGUAAGUAUUUUUUGGUUACGAUGUUUUUUUCAUAUCUAUAAUAAAAUAAACCACAAACUUUUUUACUUAUAUCAAAACUUUACAUUUGUUACCCUUGAGCUAUUCUAAGCACUAGGUUGUAUCCAUGAAAUAACUAUAAUAUAUGGUUCAUUUAAUAAUAAACUUUUGGAUCCAAUUUGAAAUAAGUAAUUUUCAUAUCUUGUCACAUUGAAUCUGUGAUGAAGAAAAGGAAAAAUUGACCAAUUACAUUUCUAUUUCUAUUCGAUAUGGGAUUAUUAGAAUAUGACACAUUUUUUACUGUAAAACUUAUAUUUAUAUAAAUCAGUACGAUCUGUACGAUGUGUUAUUACUUAUGUAAAAAAAAUUAUUGCACUUAUGUAUUCCAUGUAAUACGUGUUUAUUGGGAUUCCAAAUGAAGCCUUAGUUCAUUCUACUCCUCUUCUCCCUAAACUUUGAAACAUUUAGAGGUUUAUUCUACUUCUUCAUUGCUUAAUAGAGGUGAAAAAAAUAUAUCGUAUAAGAAUCGAUACAAUCUGUAAUAUAUAUUAUUACUUAAAAAAUAAAUAAAAUAUUUUUGUUGUACUUUUGUAUCUCUUUUAGAAUCCCAAAUGAAGCCUUAAUUCUUCUAUAUAUAUUCAUUCUCUUCUUCCUGACUUUUAAAAAUACCAAUAUAUAGAUAUUUAGCUGUAUAAAUGCAAUUUAUAAAAUAUUAAGAGACUAUUUGUGCAAAAUGGUAAGUUACGAGUAGGGGCCGGUGGCAAUCCAGCUCGCUGUUCGCGAGCUAACUCGUGUUCGGCUCGAAAUGAGAUUGAGAUCGAAUUGCUCGCUUAGUAAACGAGCCGAACACGAGCUUAAAUUUUUCAGCUCGUUUAAUAACGAGCAGAAACCAGCGAGCUGGGGGUCAGCUCGUCUCGUGUCUCGGGCUCGAUACACAGACUCGAAGUACAUAUAUAUUUAUAUUAAUUAAUUUAUUAUAUUUAUAUUUUUGUUAUAAAGAUAAAUAAUUAUAAUAUAUAUAUUAUUUAUUACUAUAAUUUUAGCAAAAUAAAAUAUAAAUGAGUGCUUAAUUAUAAAAAGACUCAUUUAUAUGUAAAGUUUCAACUAUUAGAUCAAAGUCUAAUGAAUAAGAUUUUAUAAAUUUAUUUUUUAUAUAUAUUUAAUCUAAUUUAUUUUAAUUUAUUAUUCGUUGGCCAGCUCGUGCUCAACUCGUUAAGAAACGAGCCGAACAUGAGCUGAAUUUUUCGGCUCGAUACUUUAACAAGCCAGUAAACGAGCCGAACACGAGCCGACCCUAGCUCACUCGUGUUCGGCUCGUUUACACCCCUAGUUACGGGGGACUAAUAUGUGAAAAACCCGUUUGAUUACUUAAUGCUAAUUAAAACGCUUAACUCCUCUUAACUCGACAACCACAAAAAAAAAUAAAAAACAUGUGGUUUGAGCAGCUUUUGCCUACAGCAGCGGCCAAAGAUCUAGGCUUCACCCCGAAGCAAUUAUAAGACAGCGUUUGGUUCGAAAACAAAGGGGGAAAUAAGUUUUUUUUUUUUUUUUCUCAAUAUUGUGUUGUAUUGAGAAAGUAAUUUUUAGUUUUCUUUAAAAUGGAUAUAACUGAAACUAACUUGUUCCAUCAGUUUUUUCUGAAACAAGCUUGUUCCCAGGUGAGAAUAAAAUUAAUUAAAAUUUAAUUUUAAUUAUGAUAUUAAAUCAUUAAUUGAUCUAAUUACUAUAUUUAAAUUAUUAUUUGUUACUUAAAUAAUAAAAUAAUUAAUUAAUUUAUUAUUUAUAAUUAGUUAUUAAUAAUUUAUGUAUUUAUCCAUAAACUAAUAUUUACAUUAACCCACCAUUAAUAUUUAUAUUAAUUUAAUUAUUUUUUUACUAGUUAUAGCUGAAAUAGUUUACUAACUAAUUAUAAUUAAUUAAUUAACUAAUAUAUAUUUUAUUAUCUUAUACAAUAUUCAUAGCUAAUAAAUUUAUUAAUUUAUUAAAUUAUUUUUAAGUAAUAUUUUAAUAUUAAUUAAUUAGAUAAAAUAAUUUUAAUUUAAAAUUAUAACAUUUACUCCUUUUGUUCUAAUUUAACUAUACAAAUACUAUUUAUCUUAUUUUUAGAAUAGUUUUUACUUAUACGGAACCAAAUGAUGCGAAUGGCACCCCUCGUAAUUUUCUCAAAAUUCAAGGGCAAAUAAUUAUAUGCCUUUAUUUUCCUAAAAAAUCGUUUUUAAUGGCUUUUAAUGCGGUGGAAUGAAGAGGGAACGUGCCCGCAUGCAGAAUUAAAUGUUCGUAUUUAAUUUAAACAUUUAAUAUCUUACCAAAAUCCCAUGUUAAAUGACAAUUUUACCCCCCUCUCUGUUGUUAUUGCAUUUAUUGAAAUAUGUUAACAUAUAACCUUAUUCUACAUCUCAAUAUUUGUUUAAUUUCCGUAUUAAAAAUUUAACCAAAAAAAUUAAAAAAAAGAACGGCUGAGAUUUUACAUGUAAACUUAUUUUUAUAGAGUGUUAUAAUUGAAUUUAAUUAUUAUUAUAAAUUUUGCGAUCUAUAUUAACAAAAUGAACGGCUGAGAUUGAUUUAGAGCUAUGUGGGUCCCACUAACCACGUGCUUUUGUGCUUGGUAUCAUGGUAAGCGCAGUUAAAGCUUUUAUGCGGGGCCCACGUGGAGAAAUCCAAUAGGCUCCCCAAAAAAUGAAUAAUUAUUUAUUACAAAAAAAUUUUAUAUAAGGUAAUAUUUGAGAUGAUGACACGUGGAAUAUUAGGACAAGUAGGACCCACGUGUCAGUGUCAUGACCGUGAUGUGACAUGUAACCGUUACACCGACGACGAAGUACCAGAACCAUUAAAAAAAAAAAAAAGCAUCAAAAGCGUUUUUGUAUGAUGAAGAUGUAAUUCCUUGCGCUUCGCAUCCUUCUUGUUCUAUAGAAGCGAUUGCAUGCACCCGGUGCACCAUACACCGUAGUCCUAUAAUUUAAUAAUAAAAAUUUUAAGAUUAAAAUUUAAUUUACUAAUUGUAUUUUAUGGCAUUCAAAAGGUUUUAUAUUUCAAGGAUAUAUAAAUUUUAAACACCUAACCCACCUAUAUAUAUCUUUUUUGAUUAGAUGUUAUGGGACCUGCCGUAAUUAUAAAUGAUUUGUAUAGUUGCUCGCAGUUUGAAAUUAUAUAUUACAAAUUUUAUCACUUUAUAUAUAAAAUAGUGAAUAUUACUUUCAUUGUAAAGUAAAAAAAAUAUUCUUUAUUUAUUUAAAAGGUGAUUGGGGAGGUAAACUUAUCUAUUAUUUAAGAUUAUUUUUUUUUGUUGCAAUUGGAACAACUGUGAUCAAUUUGAAUAUAGUUCUAAUAUUGCUAUAGUUAAAUGUCUUCUUACAGUUUUAAUAUGGAAUAUAUCAUAGUUUGGCCUUCAAAUUAUUUUGUCAGAAUAUGAUAAAUCGUCUCGUAAGUGAAAUAUAUAUGUAGCAAAAUUUUUGAAGAAACAACAAUUAAAUUCUUUAAUUAUAAUUAUAUAAAAAAUUUCACACCGAAUAAGUUGUGAAUUAAAUAUAAUAAUUUAAAAACUUUACAGAUCAUAUCUAUCGAAGUAAAUUUUAUGAUGGUACAUAAAUUUCGCACAAACACACCAAUUGGUGUAGGCAAUAAAUUGCUGGUCUUUUUAUCCCCUAUUUUGUACCCUUCCCACCACCCUUUUCUCCUCCUCUCUUUCCUCACACAAUCAUUGUUUCAUCCUCCCCCCCAACCCUUCUCUCCCUUCUCUAUAUAUAACUAACUUUGCCGCUACCGCCCCCACAAUAAUUCUCUCUUUCUCUCUCCACAAUUUCAAUUCCAAUUCCAAUUCUUCUUCUUUUGCUUCUUCUUACCCUAACAUUAGCAAUGAGCUCGGAGGCCACAACAAUUGAGCAAUUCCCGGCUCUCCCCGCGAUACGGACGACGGCGACAUCUGACGAGCCGAUCAAAGCCACCGCGGGGGCCGGCGAUGAUGACAAUGACGAAUGCGCGACUCCGACGUCGGAGGAGCACAAGAUCAAACCGCCGCUCAAACUCGGCCCCAACGACCGGCCUCGCCGCGUCCCCCGCAACCUCGUCGCCGCGUUCGACGUCGCCCUCCCCCCCAAGAAGAGGAUCCGCGCAGGUUAAUAUAUGUUACAUAUGUGAAGAGCGAUGGAUCUUGUGUUCAUGACCCUGUUUCAACUUUUUUUUUUUUUUUCUUUCGAUGUUUUCUGGUAGAGAAUAACACGAACGAUGAUGAUGAUUAGGGAAUUACAUGCAAAAAAAUUGCUGUAAAAUAUUAGAGAAUUCUAAUUAAUUAAGAUCGUAUUUAGUUUCUGAGAAUUGUUUUUUGUGGUAAACAUGUGAAUAUUGUUGUAGCUUGUAAUUCACGGUUCUCUGCGAAUUUUUGCCAAUUUUUUUUUUUAAAAAAAAUUAGACAAUUAGUUAAUCCUACUAGGUACGUGGUCUCUAUUUCUAUUUCUAUUUCUGUGGAUUGCGGUGUCUAAAAAUAUCGGUUCAAAAAUUUAAAGCUUUUUUGAAUUUACUGUUCAAAAUAUGAGAAAAUAUGUAUUUUUGGCCACACAAUCUCAAACCAAGCCUAUCUUUGUUUCACCUUGUUCUUUCUCUCUAGAUUGUGAUCCCCCCUUGUGGUAUCUUAAAACACUAACAUUUAUAAUUUAAAAGGUGAAAAAAAUCAUAAUUUGUAGUAUAUUAUAGUAGAAAAAAAUCGAAAGCAUCUUCAAUUUGCUGAUCGUUCUCGGCUUUGUUUGGAAUUGCAAAACAUUAUAUUACAUGCUGUUAGAAAAUAUAAUAUAUUUUUUUUAUAUAUAUAUUGGUUUAAUUGCAUACAUGUCGAAUAACAGAUAUAUUCUAACAAAAUCUAACUUUUUAUUUUUAUCCCUGUAAAAGUUUUAAUAUUUUCAAAUAUACCAUUAGAAAAAUGAAAUUAACCAUAAGUAAAAUACUUAAAUUAACCUGNAUUAUAUUACAUGCUGUUAGAAAAUAUAAUAUAUUUUUUUUUUUAUAUAUUGGGUUAAUUGUAUACAUGUAGAUAUAUUCCUACAAAAUUUAACUUUUUAUUUUUAUCCUGGUAAAAAUUCUAAUAUUUUCAAAUAUACUAUUAGAAAAAUAUAAUUAACCAUAAGUAAAAUACUUAAACCUGAUUAGUGAAUCAGUUAAAUUGACUUUUCUACCCCUCUUAAUUAUAUUACUGGGUGAAUUACUUUUUGGGAGGCAUUUUUGUAUAAUUCUAACAUUUGAAAUUUUUGGACAGAUAUAUAUAUUUGUAAGGACUGCUAAAAAAUAAGCAGUGCUUUAGCAGUAACAAACUAAGAGAACAAGUAUAAAUAUCAUUUUAUAGAAAUAUACAUGCUAUUCCAUAUGUUUACAGAGAAGCUAUAUGCAGCUAAACUUUUUCACAUCUGUAUGGAAAAACAAAAAUAUAUAUUAUAAACAUAUAUAAACAGGCUUUGUUGGGUUGUGAAUUGGAGGUUUCGGUGCUGUUGAUCGAGUCUUGUGGAGGAUCUUCAGGUGAGUUGUAAAGGGUGUUAAAAAAAAAAAAACAAAAGAAAAAAGAAAAAAAAGAAAACUACAUAGAAGGUGGGUUUGGUCCUUUGUCAUGCGUUGGCAUUUGGCGAUAUAAUAGUGUUUGAGAGAAUGGAUGAGAGAGAAAGAGGAUGAGAGAGAGAGAGAGAGAGAGGUUGAUUCCGGUGGACAAGGGCACAUGCUGAAGUGCAACGUUGGGCAACUUCCGUUGCUUACAAGGACAGCUCACUUUUACCAACCCCCCAAUCCUGUGAAUUUACGGGAAUCGCCCGCCCCCGUGCGCUCCGGAACUUAUUGUCACAUAUAUAUUAGUAUAUAUAUUAUGUAUCUUAUAUACUAUAUAUAUAUAUAUAUAUGAGCUGGAAUACUUUACAAGUAUCCGCCCAUGGUGCCUAUUAAGUUUUGCCUUAUUGGAUCUAUUUCUGAUUAUAAUAACUUGGAUCUAUUUCUUGAUUACUAUAACAUCAUCUCAACCUCAAUCUCUCCAUCCGAAUGCUAAAAUUCAAAGCACCAAACCCUCAUAGUGUUUUUGAGUGUAUAUCUAGCUCAACUAAUAUUAUAUUUAUAUAUAUAAUGAUAUAUAUAUAUAUAAUAUAAUAUAUAUAAUAUAUUUAUAUAUAUAUAUAUACUCAGGGAAGUGUCUUGGGUAGUACGGGCAAUUUUUAAAAUUCGAAUCCGAAUCGGAUCUAAUAAUGUCGAAUUUGGAGCCGAAUCUGAGUACGACAAUUUUAAAAUUGUAUCUAAAUUUUAUCUGAUCAAUAUAUUCGAAAUUCGCUGCAAAACUUCAAACGAAAAUUAUAGUGUUUAGGAUGAUAUGGUCUCUCAUUAGGUUUUGUGGGUGGUUGUUGAGUAGUAUGAUCUAAAAGUGAAAUUGAUUAAAGUUGCAACUUCUAACGGCUAAAAAAUCGAUAAUAAAAGAGUCCCAAAUACUAUUAAUAGUUUUUAAGCUCAACUAUAUAUAUAUAUAUAUAUAUAUAUAUAUAAUAUAUUAUAUUAUAUAUAUAUACUUAUAUAGAGUGAAGAGAGAGAGAGCCAGAGAGAGAGAGAGAGAGAGCAGGGCUGUCUGUGUCUCAGGAGUAGGCUGGCAACGAGCGAGCCGGCUCGCGUUCGACUCGUGUCGGCUCGAUAUCGGCUCGCUCGAGCUCGGCUCGAAAUUAAAUGAGCCCGAGCUUGAACAAAUAAAUAAGCUCGAAAUUCAUUUCAAGCUGAGCUUGAGUAUUACUCAGCUCGUUCGAACUUAGGCUCGAAAAGCUCGAAAAGCCGAAAAAAAAAAAUAAUUAUAUAUAAUAAGAAUUAUGCGUACUAUUAUAUCAUAGUACGAGCCCUUCGGUAUAUUGGUUUUCGGCCGUUGAUAAAAUGAUUGGCGGUUAGCAACAAAAGGAUGAUAGUUGGUUACGUUAAAUUGAUAGUGGUCCCUAGGAUUGAGUGGUGUGUUGUUUUAAUGUAUAAUCUUACAGAUGAAAUGAUCAAGACGAUCAACGUAGAGAAAACAUCAAUAGUACCAAGGGCUUGUUGUACGUAUCGAUAGUAUAGUAGCAGACUGCAUAUAUAUAUACUACAUAUAUAUAUAGGCUGGGGCUACUAUACUCUAUGAGUAUAGACCCCAUUGUAUCAUAAAUUUUAACCGGUUAUUUGAUGGGAUGUGUGGGUUAGGAUGCAUGGUGGUCCCCACUAGAAUGAGUAGGGCCCCUAGGGUUGAGUGGUAGUUGGUUAAAUAGUAGAUUCCUAACGGAUGAAAAUAAUUAAUGAAUAUAAUCUAAGGGUCGAAAACGUUAUGAGUAUAGGAGCAAUUGAUCAUAAAUGUAUAAUAUAGCCGGAGCUAUUAUAUAUAUAUAUGUAUUUUAAUUUAUAUAGGCUUUAAUUUAAUUUGGGCAUUAUUGUGGCCCAUAAAAUCAACCUAACAAGUACAUAGCACAUUGAGAGCCAAACUCAAAUUUACAUAAACACGACUCUCUUCUUCAAUACUUUCACUUAUUGCACUAACCUAAAAUAUGAUAACUUCAAUUUCAAAUGCCUAUUUUUUUGCUCUCUCUCCUCUCAUCUCAAAGCUCUCAUCCAUGUCAGAAGUCCAUACGCUCACUAUUCUUAUAAUUAUUUUGUAUUUUGAACUAUUGGACAUGUUCAUCAAAUUGUAGAUAAUGUCUAUAAAAAUUAAACUAUUGAUUAUUAAAUGUCGAGAAUUUAAUCGGCCGUUUAGACGCUCGAGCUCGGCUCGAUCGAAAUUAGGCUUCGCUCGAGCUCGGUCGAAUAAUUCAAGCUUAGCUUGACCUAAAUUUAAGGCUCGAUUAAUUUCAAGCGAAUUUGAGGCUGACUAAGCUCGCUCAGCUCGUACUCGUUUCCCCCUACUCAGAGACACGGAGGCCUCCGUGCUCCUGAGCCAGUUUUCGAUGAUUGAGUUUUCGAAUCGUAACGAUCGGCUCCGUUAAAACCUUGAUCUUACGUAUUUAAAGUUUCUAGAAAAUAAUUUUUGCGAUUUUUCGAUAUCAUUUACUAGUAAUCGAAAGAAUUCAAAAUCAAUAAUUUUAACGGCUGAAAAAAAAAAUAAAAAAUCACUAAAAUUGGUCGAUAUACACUAAAAUUUCGAUCGCAAAUUAGAUCUUUUGUAGAUAGUAUAAGAAUUUUCUAUCAAAAUUAUCUGAUUUGCAUACUUCUACACGUUAAACCUUUGAAAACGGCAAUAUUCAACCAUUAAAACUUAUGAUUUUGAAUCUUUCGAUCAUAGGUAAAUGUAUAUCUGAAAAAUCGCAAAAAUUAUUCUAGAAACUUCAAAUGCCUAGAUCAAGUCUAACGGAGACGAUCGAAUUCGAAAAUCUCUCAUCAAUCGAAAAGGCUAAGAGCACGGAGGCCUCGCGUGCUCCUGAAGUACAGCAGCGCCUGCUAUAUAUAUAUUACGUAUAUAUAUAUAUAAUAUAUAUAAUAUAUAUAUAUAGAGCUAGGUCCUAUGCUUUCGAAAGUACGGGUCGAGCCUCGUGCUUGUAAGUUGUUUCGAUGGAUGGGACAUCCGAUUCGGCGAUUCUUCCGUUAAACUUGAUCUACGCUAUUGGAACUAUUUAGAAACCAAAUUUCAUAAUUUUUUAAUUUCGUUUGUCUAGGAAUGAGUAGCCUCAAAUGAAUGCUGAAAAAAAAAUAUCAUAAAAAACAGUGAUAAAUAACUUAAAUUUCAAAUCGGAAGUAUUGUUCUGUUCUUGAAUUAAGUAGAAUUUUUUAUUAAAGUUUCAUAAUAUUUGGAUAUUUUUACACCGUUGAACUUAAAAAUGUGCCACAUCGGCCGUUAAAAUAGUCAUUUUGGACCUGUGAUCGCUUGGUAAAUGAUGUUGAAAAAUUAUAAAUUUGGUUUCUAGAUAAUUCCAAUAGCAUAGAUUAUACCUACGGAGCCGAUCGUCAAAAUCGGAUGUCCUAUCAUCGAAAACAACUUACAGUACGGAAGCCUCCGUACUUUCGAAAGCAUGGGACGACUAUAUAUAUAUAUAUAUAUAUAUAUUAUAGCACAUUGGUGUUGUAAUUUUUUUACCGUUAGAUUUACUCCUCUGAUUAUUUUCAACCAUUAGUAUUAUACUAUUCAACCAACCACCACUCAACCCUAGGGGGCCCACAUCAUCCUAACGCAUAUCUCUUAAUAUCCAAUGGCUAAAAAUCUACAAGCACAAUAACUUUGUACUUUAAAAGCAUAGGAGCUCAAUUCUCUCUCAUCCUCUCUCUCUCUCUCUCUCUCUCCCUCUCUCUCUCUAUAUUAUAUAUAUAUAGAGUUUGACUGGGCUACUAUCGGUAGGUAAACUGCUCGGUUUACUACCGAUUUGUUUUUGAUGAUAGAGCUUUCAAAUCGACGAUCGGACCGUGAACAUGAUCUAGACCAUUUAAAUUAUCUAGAAAUCAAAUUUCAUGAUUUUUUGGCAUCCACUAAUGAAUAAUCAAAAGGUCACAAAAAUCUAUAAAUUUAAUGGCCGAUAUGGUGCGUUUUCUGUUUAACGGUAUAGGAAGAGUUCAAAUCAAAUAAAUUUUUGUUAAAAAAUUCUUUAAACUAUUUAAAAUAAGAUCUAGACUCUAGAUCUCAAAUAUAAAAAUUGUAUUAUCACUUUUUGAAGGAUAUUCAUUUCCAGCCAUUCAUUUUUCUGUUCACUUGAUGGACAAGAGAACAAUAUCGAAAAUGUGUGAAAUUUGAUUUCCAGAUAGUUUAAAUAGUUUAGAUCAUGUUUAACGGUGCCGAUCAUCAAUUUGGAAGCUCUAUCAUUGAAAACAAAUCAGUAGUAAACCGAGCCGUUUACUACCGAUAGUAUUCUAGCAAAACUAUAUAUAUAUAUAUAUAUAUAGAGUGGAGUUAGAAUACUUUUAGAAAUACCAAGUGGGUGGUGUUUUAGAGUUUUUAGCCCUUGGAUGGUGAGAUGUGAGGUUGAGAUGAUGGUGGUUGGUGGUGGUAGAUGGAAUAGUGUUUGAUCCAAAGAAUAUUAGUAAUUAUGGAGUGGAUCCAAGGAUUAGAAACUUAGAAGCACCAAGUGGAUAGUGCUUCUAAAAGUAUCCUAGCUCAACUCUAUAUAUAUAUAUAUAUAUAUAUAUAUAUAUAUAUAUAUAUAACGAUUCUGAUUCGAGUCAGAUAUAAACAAAAUCUAUACCCGAAUUCAAAUCCAUCGAGUUUUUAUUUUUUUUAUAUCCAUAUCCGAAAUUAUAUUCAUUUAGCAUCGGAUAAAUCUGUUCCGCUCGUGUUGGCGCUCGGAUUCUGGAUCAGAUAAAAUUUCGAGUAUCUGUACUCGUUGACAUCCCUCCAAUAUGCCUCUUUUGCUGUUUAAGUCUUUUACCGUAGAAUAUUUUAGAAGUUACAUCAAGAUGACUAGAAAAAAAAUUUUACUUAUUGAUGAGUGAGAGUAUUAGAUUUACUUCCAAUUUCUGUGUAGGGAUAGCAUUGCUCUAAAUAUUUGACUACACCUUAGUCCUCAAACUUUGAGGCCCAGGACAUUUUGGCCCUUAAACUUAAUUAUCAUUAUUUUUUAAUCAAAAAUUUUAAAUUAUUGUGAUUAGGUUUCACAGUCUAAUUUAUUUGGUUAAAUUGUAAUUUAGUGCUAAUAUAGUAUUGAUGUGAUAGUAUUAUAAUUAAUAACUUGGAAAUUUUUAAGAUACCACGUAAUUAUUAUAUUAAUGAAAUAUCAAUAUCUGGUCAACUAAAAUGGGCUUUGAACUUCAUUGUAAUAAUUUAAAAAUGUGAAUCAAAUUUCAGGACCAAAGUUCAUGGGCCUCAAAAUUCGAGGACCAAAUAUGCAAUUUAGACUAAAUAUUUAAUAGGGCAUUUUAGACUAGAUUGCAUAAGCCAAUUAAGAAACUAUGCUUAUUUGUAAUAAUAAAAAAAAAAAUUCAUUCCACCUUAAAUUUAUUAUCAUUAUUUUCAUGUAAAAUGUACUAAGACGCCCUCAUUUAUAGUCCGUUCUGAAAUAGGUCCCUCUUGUUACAUUUUUCUUAUUAACAUCCUCUCAACUUCCUCCCUUUUUGGUUUGAGUUAUUCUAGUACUUUAACUAAGUUGAAAAUUUGGUUCAAUUUAAUCUCCAUUAGUUUUCAGCUGGUAAUUGUUCGAAUUUUAUUUGCCAAAAAAAAUUAUUAAAGCUAUUAAAUUUUGUAAAAUUAUCAAUGAAUUUGAUAAAAUUUCUAACUUAUUUAACCUAACUUCAAAAAAUUUAAAAGAUGUGCCAUGAAAAUAAAAUAUAUAGUUGGGGUGUGGUUUUUCCACAAUGACCUAUAGUUGAGGGGUGUCCUUACAUUUUUACCUUACAUUUUUACCUUACAUUUUUAGAGAUAAUUACCUAUAUACCUCUUAAAACUUCUGAAUUAUUUAUAAACCACGAAUUUUUUUUUACUUCAAAUAUAUUUCUUCUAUAUUUCUCCGUUAUUCAAAAAUAACCCUACUGUUAAUAUAUACUUGUUAAGUAAUCUCGGAUUAAACUAAAGUUAAAUUUCUACCAUAGUUUAAAAGAAGUCAAAAUAUCUCUUUUGUUCCUAAUUUAGAAGCAAAUAAGAAAAGUUGGUGAUGAUAUAAAGGUAUAUUUUAAAGGGCAAAAUAAUAAUUUUAUAGAGAUAAUAACUGUUCCUAACAGUUCAAGAACAAAAUCUAACUCCAGGAUUAAAAUUUAAAAUGUUAAAAAUGUGUUUUUUAUAUUAACCUUCUAAGUGAGCUAAAUACGAAAGUCGGAAACUUUUCAGGAGUAUAUAAGCAAUUGCACCUAUAUUUUACAUUGCUGUAAUCACAAGAAUUGCUUAUCUCUGUCACAGGUAUAACGACCAACCCCAUUCCCAUCCGAUGUGGGACUAUUGGGAUGUCACAGACUCCCCCGUUUAGGGGUUGACGUCCUAUGUCACAGACUCCUCCCGUUUAGGGGUUGACGUCCUCGUCAGCUGUAAACACACACAGUCCAAGAUCAAUGUAGCGAUGUGAGACUUCUCUCGCUAGCCUUUGUCAUUCCGGCCCUGAUUUAGUCUGUCAUUCCGACCUUAACUCAGUUAAGACUCAUCUCAUACGUCCGGCUGGUGAACUGCCUCUGAUACCAAAUAUAAUAACCUAACCCGCUGGCGAUGUGAGACUUCUCUCGCUAGCCUUUGUCAUUCUGGCCCUGAUUUAGUCUGUCAAUCACCGAUCUUGACUUAGUCUAUCAUUCCCGACCCUAACUCAGUUAAGACUCAUCUCAUACUUCCGGCUGGUGAACUGCCUGUGAUACCAAAUAUAACAACCUAACCCGCUAGCAAUAAUAACUUGUUAGGUCCAAACCACCAGCCCAAAAUACUUAAGCCCAAUUAUUAUUACUAGGGUGGAGUCCUCUUAUAAACUCAAUGAUAACGCCAUUCUCAUCCGAUGUGGGACUAUUGCCAUGUCACAAUAGGAUAAUCUUGGUCUUAAGAUUGAGAAAGUAAUUCUUUUGUAAAAUAAAUAUUCUUUGUGGAAAACAAGGAAAUAGAUGUUUUUAAUUCUUAUCUAAUUUUGUGAAAAGUAUGAAGAUGUUACAUAGACCCACCACAAUAAUUUGUACCAUAUAUAAAAGUGGUGGGGUGGACAUUCAUUAAUGAUGCAAAUAAAUUAAAAGGCAAACUGUUAUUGUUUGAUUUAUAAGGCAAACUGUUAUUGUUUUAUUUGUUUUAGCUUAGAUUGGAAGGAUCAAUUUUGCACUUUUAACCUAAAACUACCAAGCAUAUACAUGUCCCAAAACUAAAUGUGUAUUCUCUUUAUUAAUUUCACAUGCACAUGCACUAGUAGAAGGGUUAAUUAAUUAAAAAGAUUGAGAGCUAAAAUAUUCUUAGAAGUACUAAGCUGGAAUUACCUUCAUAUCAUUCUUGAUGAUGAAGAUCAAAAUCGACGAUGGACAUAAUUAAGCUUGAUCUAUUACUCGAUCGUCAACUUUUUAGUAACCAAAUUUGUGAUCCGUCGACAAUAUUUACCUAUUAUUCAAUAGAUCUCAAAAUUUAUAAUUUUCAAUAGCAAAUAUAAAGUACAUUUGAGAUCACCUGAUUAGUAGAUAAACUGUAUUAAUAAAACAAAAAAAGUUUGAUACCAACGAAGUUCAAAACACUGUAGAUUAAUUAUGUUUGUUGUGAUUUCGAUGCCCGUCAUCGAAAACGACGUUGAAGCAUUAGUAUAGUUUUGUACGUAUUUUUGAAAGUAUUCUAGCUCAAUUUAUCAAACCAAAAAGAUAUGCAACUUACCUAAAUUAUAAUUUAUUUUGAUACGACUAUCCAAUAUUAAUUUUCUUUGAUUUUGGUACCUCGACUUUAAUUGAAUCAAAAAUAAUUUGAGGGUAAGUAAUUAGGUUAAAAAGAAGGGUCAUAUUUCAGUAGUUUCCAUAAAUUUUUACCUAUAAGAAUAAUUUUUUAUGGUUAUGGUAUUAACUAUAUAUGGGCUCUUUACUUGCUUGCAAAUACCAUCAAUGUGGCAAAUUUUGGUAAGUUAAUUUAUCAACCUCUUUUGUGGCAUAGACUUUAGGCAAGUUUGGUAUUAUAUUGAGGGAAAUCUAAUACUAUUAAGUAAAAUAAAUUUGGAAUGAAGGCACAUAAAAUAUGUUUUUUUUCCUUUUUUUUGUGGGUUUGCAAAAAAAAUAUAUCGUGAUCGAUCAUUGCGAUAUGUCAAAUACGAUAUUACGUACGAAAAAUAUUCGAUAUUUUUUUUUUCAAUUAUACUUUCUCAUUGCAUGUAAUGCUAUUUUUCUGCUAUCCCAAGUGGAACUUUUGAUUAAUGGUUAUUAAGCAAGAAAAGAAUGUUUUAUACAAAAACAGAAAAAGCAAGAAGAGGACAUUAGCUCUUAAAGAUACAUUACUGUAAUUUUGUUUUUCUUUCCCUUUUUUAAAACAAUUAUGGUUUAGUUUAGUAUUGCAGAAAGAUUGUGUUAAGUGCAGUAUUUUUCUAUGCGUAAUAUUGCCUUGUGCGUAUUGUAAUAAGUCGGUUACAAAAUAUUUUCUACGAUCUCACUGAGAGAUGGAGAAGGAUAUUCCUAUAUGCUUUCAUCGGCCCCUACUCCAUUAUUCUUAAUAGCAUUAGAUGGCCCUCAAUACCAAAGUGUACAAGCACUUCAUCGUAGACCAAUACUACUAGCUAGAUUCAUUGUAGAGCACUUGCGCAGAGUUUGUAUAUCUGAUAACCCUUUGGUACUAAACUUUUUAAUUGGUUCAAACUCUUUAAUUAACAGCUCUAGCUUCUCCUUCAAGUGUGGAGGAUACCAAUCAACUAAUAGCUGGUCCUAAGAGUGACACCCCCAGUUCUAUAUAUGAGAUAUAAAAGAACUAAAUCUCUUAAUCCAGUUAUAGCAUUUUGAAUAGUGGCUAGAUCCAAAAAGUUAAAAGGAUUAAGCGUAUUAGGAUUAAAAUAGUUAUAGAAUAGGUGAUCUCCUGAGCAGCAGGCAUCACACUAAAUCUCUAUGUGGACAAUGUUGGCAUUAAGUUCUCUCUACUGUAAAAUUAUAUUAUUACCUAAUUAUCUUUCUCUAAUAUUUUCUUGGAAGCAUGCAGAAGCAGCCAAUUGAAGAGCUGACAAGACUUGCUGGUUUUUAUAUAAAUCCAGCAUUGCAACAAUUCUAGUACCAAAAAGGACUUGGCUGCAUGUGUGACUCCUCCUCUUCCCCCAAUUGCCCAAAUUUUAAGCUAGAGUCCACAGGCACCUUUUUUUGUGCUGUUCAGUUGUGACAGGAAUUUAAGAACAUGAUGUUCUUGACAGCACUGACAUGCUGAUUUGGUGACAUCCUAGCACUUUUGCUAACUGAUAAAACUGCACAGCAGGGAUAAAAAGAAAGAAUUAAUCUAAGCAUGCAAUUGCAACUCUAGGUUCAAAAUUAACUCAAUUACUAGGACUAUUUUUGAGUGAUACACUUUGAGUAAUAUAAUGUUAAGCUCUUUGUAUAGUAAGAGGUCAUGAGAUUUAUUGUCACUAUUUAUGGCAUAUAUUACUCUGUUAUUUCGUUAUUCUUUUCAUUGUACAGAACGAUUAAAAGUAUUACUGAACUGUUUUUUACAAGAUUGAUCUUUUGUGCAAUACCUAUUCCCCCCUUUUUGUUUGAUGAUGUUUGUACCGAGUUUUGAUUUGGUGAAAUAAAUACUGUUUCAUAUGUCGGCGUAAUUAUCUCCAAUUGGAAAUUCAGGCACUUCAUAUAAAGUCAUGGGUUUAUUGAUAAUUAAAGAGCAAAUGGGAAAUUUAGGUAUCUUGGUGCAUGACAAAAUAUGAUAUUGCAUAAAGGUACUAAUAUGAUAAUGAUAGGAAUAUUAAAUUUAUGAAUAGUUUCCCAAGUUUGAUAUAUUUACAUCAAUAUAAUCUACAAAAAAAAAAAAAAAAAACAAUCAGUACACAAAAUAUAGUAAAAAUUGCUUUAUUUAUAUUACUGUUAGGUAUUCUAUGAUAGAUAUUUUCCUAGCUAGAGGUCCUCUGUGAAUGUGAGUGAGAGUAUUAAGACUAUUACUGGAUUAUUUUCUAUCAUAUCCAUAUGUAAAAUAAAUAUUUUAAUAUUUAGAAAAAGGAUAAUACGAAAAUAGGAGGGGCAUAUUUACACUCUCACUUGGUGAAUUUGGAUUAGGCAAUGUUGCAAAGUGGAUCUGUAUUAUUAACACACAUAGAAACUGUUACUUAUUUUCAUACAAUUAAGUACGAUGCUUUGAGAUAGAAAUUUUGGAAGAAAAAAAAAUCGUUUUUCUUUUUCUCUUCCGAUCCCUCUGGUAGCAAAUAUGUUGAAAAUUUCCAAUCCAUGAAUCAUAGAUGAAAAACCAACCGUCCCUAGAACAAGUGGCAAAGGGUUUGGUGGUUGGUACCCGAGACCCAAGUUCGAAUUCUAGUUGAUUCACAUUUCCAGCUAAGUUUAUUUCUAAAUGAAAUAAACAAAGCGGGUAGCGUGCUACCUAUCUCUUAAAAAAAAAAAGAAAAAAAGAAUCAUAGAUGAAAAGGCUGUAAAUCAUUUCUUUCAUAGGGCCUGCUUGUUGGUCUGCAACUAAUAUUCAAUUUGUUUUAAAAAUAACUUUCAGUUGAACUGAAGUUCAGGUAAAAAUUAUUUUUUCACGGCUGUUUGGUUGAUAAGUCAAUGGCUUUGAAACUAUAGUUAUUUAUUCCACUUUUGUUGUUUAUUUUACCAAAAAUUUUCACAUUAGUGCAUAAAAGAAUAAAAAAGAAAUUACAAUAAAUAAUUUUUUAUUAAUUUUUUUUUUCUCUCUUUGUCUCUCGUAAGUGAUUUCGCCACCACUCAAGUGAAGUCAGUAGUUAUAGUAUUCUGAAGAAGUAAAGUUAUGAGUAAAUUUAAUUUACAACAUACUAAACAAGAAAAUUAACUUUAUCUGUCUCCACUUUCAAUAAAAUAAAUAUGUUGCAUAAAUAUUGUUAAAAUCACCGUUCUACGAGUAAUUUAAGCUUUUGAAGAAUGANGAAGAAAAAGUAUUCUGAAGAAGUAAAGUUAUGAGUAAAUUUAAUUUACAACAUACUAAACAAGAAAAUUAACUUUAUCCGUCUCCACUUUCAAUAAAACAAACAUGUUGCAUAAAUAUUGUCAAAAUCACCGUUCUAUGGGUAAUUUAAGGUUUUGAAGAACAAUUGUUGUUUCCAGCACUUCAACACGGUAUCAGAGCAGGAAAUUUUGAGUUUACUUAGUUUAAUUUUCUCUCCUUUUAUUCAGUUCUGCUUGUUGAGCCCGUAACUACUAUGAUUGUUUUGCACACUUUUGGAGAAAAAACUUCAAUGAACACAUUACAAACCUACACACAACCAUAAAUAUAAUAAGAGUAAACUUCAAUUAAUUUGUCUCAUGUGGUUUUGCUCAUUUUUAUUUUGCACCCUAUGGUUCAAAAAGUUGUAUAUAACUAUCUUGUGAUUUAGCUCAUUUCUUACUUUGCCACCCCGUAAUUUAAAAGUUACACUUAACUAUUUUAUGAUUAUCAAAAAAUUUUACUUUAUUACCCUAUUUUAUAGUACAUUUUUUGGAUAAAAAUAAAGAUAAAGUUAUAAAAUUGUUAAGUGUAACUCUUUGAAUCACAGAAUGAUGAAGUAAAAAAUAAGCUAAAUAAGAUGGCAUAUUGAAGUUAUGUGAAGACCUCUCAACAAUAUGGCUUUUUCAAAACAUAUUCUCAAGUUUUUUUUUUUUUUUUUUUUUUUUUUUUCAAUCAAGUUUUUCUAGUUAAAUUUAAAGUUUUAUUUAAAGAGUGGCUUUAUUAGCAAUUCAUCAUUGAUUUUUUCAGUUUGAUAAACAAUAAUAGUUAAAAAGAAAAACUAUGAGUUAUGAUAAUAUUGCUGAGUAAUAUAAUAAAAGCUCAAUUUACUUCACUAAAAUUAUUCAAUUCUCGCUAACAGCUGAAGCUCGAACAAGAAUCAGAAACCUAUGGACUUUUACAGAAAGAUUCAAACAAUUCAGCUUUGGAUGGAUUUCGAGAUUUUCUAAAAAUGCUAUAGUUCAUGAAUCGCUUAGCCAAUUAGGGACUCACCAGCAAAAAGCUUUUCUUUUUAUCUUCUGUAGAUGAGUUCUUUCAAUUAGUACCACUUGAUUAAUCGAAUAAAAUCGGUUUAGAGUGUGUUUUCCCUCACAAAAAAUAAAAACUCGAUGUACGAGAACAAAAAGUCAAAAGCUGAGAGGGGUGUGAAUUCCAAGAAAAAAAAAAUCCAAGUACUUGGGGUCGUAUUAUAAUAGGUUAUAGUUGAAGGUCUGAGAUUUUUCGUCUAACACUUAAAAAGGAUCAAAAACAUGCAUGUUGAGUUCAGAUAUUUCAAUUUGGUUUGCUCUACGUGCUACAGCAGCGUCGAGUACUUAGCGAGAAUAUUAGGCGUACAGUAGAUAUAAAUUAGAAUUAUGAUCUGUCUAUAAUGUAAUAAUAGGGCGAAGAAUCUCGAUGGACGGUUUAAGUUUUGCAGAAGCAGCUCUAGUCAUGUUCUGUAUUCUUUAAAUUGGUCAGUGCUAAUGACAAACUCAAACGCCGUGGAUCCAAAUGUUAGCCUUCUUGGAACUGAGUCUUUGUAAAGGGCUUAAGAUGGCUACUACUGGAUCGAGUCCUUCCCCAAGUUACAAAAGCUAUAACUACUAUGGCUACUGUUGGAUUGGAGAUCAUGUCAUGAUCUGUAUAUUAAAUUUGGAUAUGCAGCCAUGUUAUCUUUGUACCCUGCAAGUGCUUCUUUGUUCUCUUGAUCAUGUGAGAGCAGCAAAAGCCAACACUGUAGAGAGGCUUUUUUUUUUUUUUGGGGCUAGGGUGCAGUUUUUGGAUCCAAAAUGGUACAGAUUGUGCUCUAAAAGCUAAUAUAAAAGUUGUGCAGUAUAUGUCCUGCCAUGAGUUACAUGUGCUCUCAAAAUCCCAAGUUCUUAGUUAUUUCGCCUUGGGCCUUUUGGCUUAUAUUCUCGAAAAAUAAUUUUUGCAGAAUUAAUUUUUAUUUGAAGAAUUAAAUUUGGUUAUAAGUUGUAGAGCGUUUGACUGAAUUUAGAUGACAAGCGAUUUUUCUAGAGAGAAAUUGUAAAACUGUUUGGCAAAAUUUUUUUGAUAUUGGCAUAAAAUAAAUUUUUUUUACUAACUUUUAUUUUUAAAAAAUUAAAUUUGAAUUAAAAUUUUAAAUUUUAAAUUUUAAAUUUGAACAAAAAUUUAAAUUUUUAUAUUUAAUUUAAAAUAUAAAUAUAAAAUUUAAAAAUUUAAGAUUUAAAUUUUUAAAACUAAAUUUUAAUUAUAAAAUCUAAAUCUAAAAGUUCAAAUUUAAAAUUUAAUAAAAUUCGAAUGUUAAAAAUUUAAAAUUAACCGUUAAAAAUUUAAAAUUAAAUUAAAAUUAAAUUAAAAAUUUGAAUAGAAAUAUGUAAUUUUAAAAUCAAAACUUAUAAUUUUAAAUUUUAAAUUUAUAAAUUUUAAAUUUUAAACUUUAAAUUCUAAAAAUUCAAAAUUUAAAUUUUAUCCUAAAUUUGAAAUUUGAAAUUUAAAAUAUAAAAUUUUGAAAAUUAAAAUUUAAAAUAGAAAUUUAAUAACUAAAUUUUAAAUUUAAAAUUUUGAAAGUUUAAAUUUAAAAAAUUCGAAUUUGAAAUUUCAAAUACAAAUUUAAAAUUUGAAUUAAAAUUUAUAAUUUGAAUCUAAAAUACAAGUUUUAGCUAUUUUUGAUUUUGAGCUUUGAAAAUNNNNNNNNNNNNNNNNNNNNNNNNNAAUUAUAAAUUUUAAAUUUUAAAUUUAAAUUUUGAUAUUUUAAAUUUUUGAAAUUUAAAAUUUGAUAUUUUAUAUUUUUUUAAAUUUAAAUAUGAUCUUAAAUUUAAAGUUUGAAAUUUAAAAUUUAAAAUUUUGAAUUUAAAAUUUGAGAUUUUAAAUUUCAAAGUUAAAAUUUUAAAUUUAGAAAUAUAAAUUUAAAAAUUUAAAAAUUCAAAUUCAAAUAUAAUAAGUGGAUAAUAUCAUUAUUUUUUAUUUACAAAACCUAUUAUCUUUCUUAUUCCAUCUUACCUAACCAAACGCUAAUUUUUUUAUUCCAGGAAUAACCCAAUUUUCAUCCAAACGCAAAAUUGAUCUAAUCCUCGCUUAUACCUCAAUUUAUACCUAUCCCUGGAAAAGCCACUUUUUUCUUAUCUCCGAACCAAACAAUACCUAAAUGGUUAUUAGUGGUUAGUCUAGUUUCUAACUAAUUUAUUUUCUAAAUUUGAUUUGUUAUUAAAUAUGUUUCCAGUUUUUUUUAAUUAUAAAUUUUUUUAUGUGUUUUUAAUCACAUUCAAUUUUGUUUUCUUAAUGUCUACCUAAAUUUAAAAAUUUGAUUUGAUUUUGUAAAUUUAGAUUAAAGUUUGAGCUUAGAUACGAAUCAAACACAAAAAUUAAAUUAAAUUUUUAAAUCCAUUAUUUGAAUUUGAUAGGUUCAUUUUUAAACCAUUCUAUUUUUUAAAAAUCUAAUUAAUUUAUUUUAGUUAUUUUUUAAAUAAUAUAUAUAAUAUAUUUUUUUAUUCUAUUUAUCAUUCUGCUGGUCAACUUAAAAUUUUCUAUUGGUUUAUAUAUAUAUAUAUAUAUAGAGAAAGAGAGAGAGAGAGAGAGAGUGCGGUUAUGGUGCUUGUAAAAGAAUCAAACAUUUGGUGUGCUUGUAACUUUUCCACCGUUAGAUUUACCCCUUUAAUCAUUUCCACCCGUUCGAUUAUACUAUUCAACCAACCACCCUCUCAACCCUAGAGCACCACUGUCAUCUUAACUGCACACCUCUUAAUCCAAGGGCUACAAAGCUACAAGCACCAAUGACUUUGUAUAGUAUAGAAGCUUAAAUAUAUAUAUAUAGAGAGAGUCCGGCUACUAUCUAUUAAUAGGAUUAGGACCAUUAUCCUAUCAAGUUGUUUUGAAUGGUCGACACUCCAAAUUGAUAAUCAGCACCGUUGAAAUUGAUCUACACUAUAAGAAAUAUUUAAAAACCGAAUUUUGUAAUUUUUGAAAAUCAUUAUCAAAUCUAUCGAAGAGUCGAAAAAAUGAACGGACAUAAACGAAUAACCUUCUUAAAAUAGAGGUUAGACUUUCUCAAAUCAUGAUCAGAGUUAUCAAAUAUUAUCUAAAUAGUAUAAAAAUUUUCUAUAAAAAAUUCAAACAGUUUGGAUUGCUCUACACCGUUAAUAAGUAAACGGCUCAUAUAAGCCCUAAAAAAUUGUCGAUUUUACGAUCCUUUGAUCACUAUGUAAAUAAUUUUUAAAAUUUCUGAAAUUUAGUUUUUAGAUACUUCAAAUACUCUAGAUCAACUUUAAUGGUUCCGAUCAUCGAUUCGACAUCUCUAUCAUCAAGAACGACUUGAUAGGACGAUGGUCUCUAUCCUAUUAAUAGGAUAGUAGCUGGAUUUUAUAUAUAUAUAUAUAUAUAUNCGAUAUCGAUAUAUAUAUAUAUAUAUAUAUAUAUAUAUAUAUAUAUAUAUAUAUAUAUAUAUAUAUAUAUAUAUAUAUAUAUAUAUAUAUUAUUGUCUGCGACCACGAAUGACGCACCUCGCACGGUUAAUCUUCUUUUAAUUUUUCGUGGGGUAGUAUUUAUGAUUCAGAUUAAUAUUUAAGUAUAUAUGGUUAUCAAGUAUUGUGGAUUCAUGGCUUCCAAUAAAUGCAAGCAUUUACUGUUAAUUACCUCUAUAAAAUAUUGAGGUACCUUCGAUUAAGAGACCUCUGAAAUGCUGAAAUAGACUGAAAUUGAAUAAAAGGUGGAUUUUAUAACACAAUCCGUUGUAUAGUUACAUGGCUUAACCAGGGGCAUACCCUUAGUGUACAUGAAUGUAACAUAAAAGAGAAAAUGAUUAGUUCAACGACAUGACGGUCGAUUGAACUGGGUUGCUCAAUUUAACGACAUGGCGGUCGAUUAGAUUUUGACUUGCUCAGUUUAACGACAUGGCGGUCGAUUGGAUUUGAUGACAUGGCGGUCGAUUGAAAUGAUUUGCUCAAUUUAACGACAUGGCGGUCGAUUGCAAUUGGAUUGCUCAGUUUAACGACAUGGCGGUCGAUUAGAAUUGGUUUGCUCGGUUUAAUGACAUGGCGGUCGAUAAAAAUUGGAUUGCUUAGUUUAACGACACGGCGGUCGAUUGGAAUUUGAGUUGCUCAGUUUAACGACAUGGCGGUCAAUUGGGAUUUGAUUUGCUCAGUUUAACGACAUAGCGGUCGAUUGGGAUUUGAUUUGCUCAGUUUAACGACAUGGCGGUCGAUUGAAUUUGAUUUGCUUAGUUUAACGACAUGGCGGUCAAUUGGGAUUUGAUUUGAUUUGCUCAAUUUAACAACAUGGCGGUCGAUUGGGUUUGAUUUGCUCAGUUUAACGACAUGGCGGUCGAUUAGAUUGGAAUUGGAUUGCUCAGUUUAACGACAUGGUGGUCGAUUGGAUUUGAUUUGCUCAGUUUAACGACAUAGCGGUCGAUUGGGUUGAGUUGCUCAGUUUAACGACGUGGCGGUCGAUUAGAAUUGGAUUACUCAAUUUAACGACAUGCCGGUCGAUUAGAUUUCAGUUGCUCAGUUUAACGACAUGGUGGUCGAUUGGGUUGAGUUGCUCAGUUUAACGACAUGGCGGUCGAUUAGAAUUGGAUUACUCAGUUUAACGACAUGGCGGUCGAUUAGAUUUAAGUUGCUCAGUUUAACGACAUGGCGGUCGAUUGGGUUGAGUUGCUCAGUUUAACGACAUGGCGGUCGAUUGGGUUUGGAUUUGCUCGACUUGGACUUACCUUCAGCUUAAAUUCUGAGUUUGGAGGACAUCAUGUAGGUGAAGGGCAAGUACACGAAAUGAACUUGACUUGGCAUACAUGAAUUUGAAGGUUUAAAUUCAAAAGUUUAAGUUUCAAGUUAAAAUUUUAGAUUUAAAUUUAAAAUUUAAGCUUGAGUUAGUUUUAUUUUGAAAUUGAAUUCUAAUUAAAGUUCUGAGUCUGAGGUUGAAUUUAAUUUUAAUUUUAAUUUUACCUUGAACUUACAUGGGAUUAAGUUUGGUUUGCAUUAAAAGUCUAUUUAAAUCUGCAUCUUUAAAUUUGAGUUUAAAUUUAAAUUUUGGUUUGAUUUUAGUUUUAGAAAGAGAUUUGAAUUUGAAUAUUUAUUAUAAAAUUAUUUAUGCUUUAGUCAGAUUUUAAAUUUGAUUAAAUUUUGAUUUGAAUUUUGAUAGUGGUUUAGUUUUAAAUUUGAAUUUGGAUUGCAAGAGUUUAGGAUAAGAUUUGAACAUUGAUUACAAAUUUGAAUUCUGAAUUUUGGCUUUUCAUUUAGCUUUGCGUCUAGAUUUAGAUUUCAGAUUUAAGUUAGAUUGAAUUUAAUUUGAUUUUAUGAUUUUGGUUUAAUUUUGGAUUGGAAGUUAGUUUAAAUUGAAUUUAAUUGUCAUUUGAAUUUUAAUUUAGUUUUAGUUAGUUUAACUUUGGUUCAAGUUUUAAUUUGAUUUACUUUAAGUUUUAAUCAAAUUUUAAUCUUAAAAAGUCAUUCAGAUUUUAGAUAAGAAAUCAAAUUCAAAAUGGUCCAUGCCAAGUCCAUCGUGUAUUUGUUUAUUGUCACGAGUCCGAAGUCAAGUGCAUCAUAUGCAAGUCAUAAUUGAACCAAAGUUCUAAUUUGACUCAGUUUAGUAAACUGAAGCAUGCAGCAUGUAGCAUGCAGCUUUUGGAUCUUAUUAGAUGCCGAUUGGGUCCUAAUUUGACCCAAAAUUGCACUCCUCCUUGGUGCACCCAUAGAUGAUUAUCAAAUCUUCUUCUUCGCCGGCGGCUAAGCGCCAAGCGGAUAAUGUAUCAAAUAUUCUUUUUCGCCGGCAGCUAAGCGCCAAGCGGAUAAUGUAUCAAAUCUUCUUUUCCGCCGGCGGCUAAGCGCCAAGCAGAUCAUGUAUCGAAUCUUCUUUUCCGCCGGCGGCUAAGCGCCAAGCGGAUAAUCAUGGAGUCUUCUCAAACAACGUGGUUGUCGAUGUAGUGGCGAGUGGCCGCCAUUGUCCUCUGUCGACGACAAGGCACCGACAGAUAAUCACCAAUCUUUUCUUCCGCCGACGGCAAAGCGCCAAGCAGAAAAUCGACGGGUUCGGUGCUCCUCCAUGUUUGUCGAUGGUGCACCCGCAGAUGGUCGGGCAAAGAUUUGCCUUGGGCAUUUCAGCGAACAGGUGAUAGAUCGGAUGCAUAGUGUUAGAGGUUGCAGCUUUGGUGACUCCUCAACUAGAGGUCACUUCUACAUCAGGUUGGGACCCGUGAUGACAACUGAAUUGGAGGUCGCGACUGUGUUCGAUGUAGAGAUCGUGGCCGCACCAAAGUUAUACCAAAGUUAUGGCCCACGGUUGUAUCGGGCUUGAAGGCCAUGGGCACGCCACAGUUGAACUCCGCGGCAAUGUUCGGGUUGAAUUUCAUGGCAGCAUUAGAGUAGGCGGCCUCAAUCACGUCGCUGCUGGAGCUCGCAGGCGGCCUCAAUCACGUUGCCGCUGGAGCUCGCCAUAGAUGUGUGGGGUAGUUUGGGGCGGCGCGCGGAUUGAAGGCGUUGAUGUUGGUUUGCAACGGCACGCGAGUUGGACGCGUCGAAGUCGAACCGCAGCGGCAUGCGAGUUAGAGGUGUCGUCGUUGGUGAAGGCCGCAACAGCAUGUAAGUCGAGGCAUGGCGACGUCGGAGUUAGAGGUAUUGCAGCAACGUCGGGGUGGGAAGCCGCAGGCUGUGCGGCUCUAGCUCUGGUACUGGAGGGAUUAUCCCAUAUGUAAUUAUGGAGGACUAUUGUAACCUUGUGUAAUUAAUCAAGUAGUUGGGUAGAUGUGUUGGGGCCUCCUCUUCUUAAUGACAAAAUGGAAUAUUAUAUUUAUAGAUGCACCCUUGAGAAAGGGACGACCAUGUUCUUUGGGAGUUGUGGUAGAGCAUAGUGGAAUGGGUAGUUAAUAGAUAGUGGAGUAAUGGGGAGUUUGGGAAGUCUGUUUUAGACUCAGACGGUUCAUGAAAUAAAGAGUACUUAAGUAGUGAGAAGUUGUGAAGAUCUUUUUUAUCUCUCUCUUUUGGCAAGCCCAGCACCAAUUGAAUAUGGGUCAAAAUCUGCCGUAAUAAAUGAUGUUUCCCACUAAUAAUUUAUACAUGAACCUAAAUAUUGGCCCAAUAAAAUAUAUCUUGCAUAUAUCUUGUUCGUUUGUCGUCUUUAUGGGCUAGCUCAAAAUUUGGCCCAAUAAGUAGUUUUUAUCUCUAAUAUUCUAUAAGGGGCCCAAAAUUAGGUAUAAUAAAAUGUCCCCCAUUUUUCUAUUUUCUAUUUUUCAUCUUUCGAAAGGCUGAUUCAAAAAGUGGUCUCAAAAUAUAUAUAUUAGUAUAUAUUAUAUAUGAUAUUAUAUAUAUAUAUAUAUAUUAUAUAAGGCUAGCGGGCUUACUAUCAAUUAAUAGGAUUGGAGCACUUGUCCUAAUCAAAUUAGUUCGUAGGAUGAUAGAGAUUCCGGAAUCCGAUGCAUUCGAGACCGUGAAGUGUGAUCUAGAGAUAUUGAAAUAUCAUAGAAACUAAAUUUCAUAAAUUUUAAAAAUUAUUUACUGCAGUGGAUCAAAAUGUCGUAAAAUGACCAUUUUUUUGACGGCCUAUAUGAGCCGUUUGCUGUGUUACGGUGUAGAACAACUCCAAAUUGCUGUAUGAAAUUUUGGGUAGAGAAAUCUUUAUACUAUGUUAGAUAAUGUUGAUAAACUCUGAUUAUAUAGUAUAUAUGGGACUGAUUAUAGCUUAUUGAAGCACGGAGCCUUCGUGCUUAUCCAAUUGGGUUUUCGAAUUUGAUCGGACUUCCGCUGCUUCCUAAGUUGUUUUCGAUGUUCGUGACUUUCGAAUCCGAGAUUUGGCAUCCCAUUAGAAUGAUCUAGAAGUAAUUUUGAAAGUACUAGAAAAUAAAUUUUGUGAUUUUUUCGAUAUCAUUUGUCUAGUGAUCGAAGCAGGCUACAAAUCAAUAAUUUUAAUAGAUGCGUGCGCCGUAGCAGCUGAGCCGGUUUGCAAGUUUAAACGUGUAAAAAAUAUUCAAAUCAACAUAAAUUUUGAUAGAAACAUGUCUUCCUAUAGCCAAUAUUAAAAAAGAUUAAUAACUUUGAUCUAAAAUUUUAUAAUGUCAUAGUCAAUCAAUAUUUUGUAAGAUUUUUUUUUUUUCAUUCAGCCGUUUGAUUUUGAGUCCUUCGAUCAUUAGGCUACAAUGAUUCAUGAAAAGAAUCGCAAAAUUUAAUUUUCUAAGAUACUUCAGAAUACUAUACGAUCAAGUCUAAUCGCGGAGGCCGAAUCUGUACGGAAUUCGAAAGUCGAAAUAUCGAAAACAAAGGGGACAGGGACCCCUUCCGUGGUUGCAUAUAAGCAUCCUAGCCGCACUCUUAUAAUAUAUAUGAGUCCGCUAGUAUGCGAUUAAUAGCAGGCCAACGUAAGCACUUGAGUGUCCAAAGUUUCCGCCGUUAAUCUUACUUUUUGAUCAUUUCCUCGCUGUUAGAUCAUACUAUCAUCAACAACCACCCAUCAACUAGGGGCCAUGCACAUCAUCCUAACGCACAUCUGCUUAAUCUAAUAGGCCAAAAACUUGAAUAGCCACCAAAUGACUUUGUUGCUCUAUUAAUAGGCAUAGUAGCCUAGUUAUAUAUAUCAUAUAUAUAUAUAUAUAUAUAUAUAUAUAGUAUAUAAUAUAUAUAUAUAUAUAUAUAUUAAAAAGCGUGUGUUUGGUCUCGAAGUCAAAAUCGUAAAUCAGUAAUCGGAAAUUCGAAUAAGCGUGGAAUCGGUAUCGGAAUGACUCCAUUACCGUAAUUCUGUUGACGUUUGUUACCCUAAAUUAGGAAUAAAAUAAAUCUUCUCAUGUCGGUCUGUUCUGGUAUCAGGUAGAUAUAAAAAACGUAAUCAAAUUAAUAUACUAACUUUAUCUUUAUAAUAUAUUAAUUUAAAUUUAAAUUGAAAAUUAAAUAUUAAAAAUUUACAUCAAAAUUUUGAAAUAAUGUCAAAAUUUUAAAUCUAUUUUUUAUAAAAAAAAUUAAACUUUGAAGUUGAGUGGAUAAUUCAAAAUAUAAAACUAAAUUUUGAUUUAUUCAAAUUCAAACUUAAAAUUAUAAUUUAAAUUUAAAUUGGAAUCCAUAAAUUUAAUUUACGUUUUAAAUAAAAUUUGAAUAAAACUUGAUAUAAAUUAAAAUUUAAUUUAAAUUCAAAUUUAUAAGUAAGAUUCAAAAAACUUGAUUAAAUUUUAAUUUUUAAUUCAAAUUUAAACUCAAAUUUAAAAUUAUAAAUUUAAUUUUUAAAUUUAAACUCAUAUUUUAAUUAAAAAGUAGAAAAAUAAAUUUAAUCCGAAUAAAUAUCCAUUCCGUCCGGAUUCAACUUCCAAUUCGGCCUCCUAGGCCGAAUUGAAAAAAGAGGUGAUUGGAGGAUUCUCAUUCCACUCGGAAAUCGGAAUCAGAAUGGGACUCCCACAUACCAAACGCCCACAAAUGGAUUCUAAUUCCGAUUCCAGGGUGAAAAAGAAGCGAACCAAACAUUCCCAUAGAGUUAGGCUGGUAUACUAUCGGUAGCGCGGAAGUCUCCGUGCUACCAAGUUGUUUUCAAUGAUGCGGCUUCCAAAUCGACGAUCGGCUCUGUUAGACUUGAUCUAUACUAUUGAAAGUAUUUGAAAACUAAAUUUCAUAAUUUUUUGACAUCAUUUAGCUAGUAAACAAGUAGUCUAAACAUAAACGACUGAAAAUAAAAAUCACAUAAAAAUGAUGAUAAAAGACUUAAAUUUAAGAUUAGAGGUACUAAUUUUACUCUAAAUAGUGAAAAGAAUUUUCUAUAAAAAUUUUAUCAGAUUUGGAUUGUUUUACGCCGUUAAAUUUACAAACGCAUCACAUCUACCAUUAAAAUUGUCAAUUUUGAGACUUUUUAAUCACUAGCAAAUGAUGUAAAAAAAUUAUGAAAUUUAGAUUCCAAAUACUUUUAAUAGUGUAAAUUAAGUUUAAUGAAACCGAUCGUCGAUUUGGAAGCCACAUCAUUAAAGACAACUUGUUAGCACGGAGNCACCAAGCAGAUGAUUAUCAAAUCUUUUUCUCUACCGGCCGGGAAGCGCCAAGCAGAUGAUUAUCAAAUCUUCUUCUCCACCGGCGGCUAAUCACCAAGCAGAUGAUUAUCAAAUCUUUUUCUCUACCGGCCGCGAAGCGCCAAGCAGAUGAUUAUCAAAUCUUCUUCUCCACCGGCGGCUAAUCGCCAAGCAAAUGAUUAUCACGAAGUCUUCUUUUCCGCCGACGGCUAAGCGCCAAGCAGAUCACGUAUCGAAUCUUCUUUUGCGCCGGCGGCUAAGCGCCAAGCAGAUCAUCAAGGAGUCUUCUCAAACAACGUGGUUGUCGAUGUGGUGGCGAGUGGCCACCAUUGUCCUCUGUCGACGAUAAGGCACAGACAGAUAAUCACCAAUCUUUUCUUCCGCCGACGGCAAAGCGCCAAGCAGAAGAUCGACGGGUUCGGUGCUCCUCCAUGUUUGUCGAUGGUGCACCUGCAGAUAGUCGGGCAAAGAUUUGUCUUGGGCAUUUCAGCGAACAGGUGAUAGAUCGGAUGCAUAGUGUUAGAGGUUGCAGCUUUGGUGACUACUCAACUAGAGAUCACUUCUACAUCAGGUUAGGACCCGUGAUGACAACUGAAUUGGUGGUCGCGACUGUGUUCGAUGUAGAGGUCUUGGCCGCACCAAAGUUAUAGCCCACGGUUGUGUCGGGCUUGAAGGCUCGGGCUUGAAGGCCAUGGACACGCCACAGUUGAACUCCGCAGCAACGUUCAGGUUGAAUUUCAUGGCAGCAUUAGAGUAGGCGGCCUCAAUCACGUCGCCGCUGGAGCUCGCCAUAGAUGUGUGGGGUAGUUUGGAGCGGCGCGCGGGUUGAAGGCGUUGAUGUUGGUUUGCAACGGCACGCGAGUUGGACGCGUCGAAGUCGAACCGCAGCGGCACGCGAGUUAGAGCGUCGUCGUUGGGCCGUGGCAAUGUGAAAGUCACGGAUUGCCACAAUAUUGGAGCUUGGGGUGAUGGCGACGUCGAGGUGACGACGACGAAGGAAAACUUCUUUUCCUCUCCUCUGUUAACAUACGUGAGAGGAAAAGAGGAAGUUGGGGUUACAUGGUAAAAUAGGUUGAUGAUUAUUAUUAUUUUUUUUGGAUCCCCGUCUCUAUACAUCCACUCCUCUUUUUAUAGACUCUGCUCAAUGCUAGACGAGCCCGUUAUUGUUGGGUGAGUAGUGGAGUAGGUGGUGGAAUAAUGGGUACUGGUUAAUGAAUAGUGGAGUAAUGGGAUAGUUAAUAGAUAGUGGAGUAAUGAGAUAGUUAAUAGAUAGUGGAGUAAUGAGGAGUUUGGGGAGUUUGUUUUAGACUUGAACGGGUUCAUCAAAUGAGAUAAUACUUAGUGGGAAGUUGUUAGGAUUUCUUUUUAAUCUCUCUCUUUUGGCAAGCCCAACACCAAUUGAAUAUGGCCCAAAAUCUGCCGUAAUGAAUGGUGUUUCCCACUAAUAAUUUAUACAUGAACCUAAAUAUUAACCCAAUAAAAUAUAUCUUGCAUAUAUCUUGUUCGUAUGUCGCCUUUAUGGGCUAGCUCAAAAUUUAGCCCAAUAAGUAGUUUUCAUCUCUAAUAUUCUAUAAGGGGCCCAAAAUUAGGUAUAAUAAAAUGUCCCUCUUUUUUAUUUUCUAUUUUUCAUCUUUUGAAAGACUAAUUCAAAAGCGGUUCAACAAGUUGAAAUGGUGCGAUGUUGGGGGCAACAAUCCUCCACAUCUGCUGCGGCUGAACACGAUGUUGCUUGGGUUGCUAUUAAGCGGAUGGUUGAAGAAUAUGAUUUGCAAGUUAAAGAUGUAAAUUACGAUGAUAGUAUCUUUUAUAAAAAUCUAUACAAUCAUCUGACCACAAAGUUUGCUAUGCUAUUUGCACACUACACCAACUUGCUUCAAGAGUAUAACUUUGUGAAGGAUUGCUAUGUCACUACUCUUGCACAGAUAAAUGAGUUUGUGACUGAGCGGGUCCAGAUACGCCAUGCCAUUGAAGAAUGCUAUGCUGUAAUUAACCGCCUGGUUCCUCUUCCACCUAUUGCAAAAACAGAUUCAUCAGAUGGUACUUCGGCUCUCUUGGGUUAAGUGUCGAAGGACGAGGGGGGAAGCUGUUCCAACAAUAUAUAGUAGAUGCUUUCUCCUGCGUUGAAGAAGAACGACUUUGUUAUAUUAGAAACAACCAAACAAAUUUAUGCUCUGAAAUAUACAAAGGCAUUAAAGAUGCUGUUGUGGGAGGUGAUGUCGAUGGAAAUGCUAUUAGGAAAAGAGUUGUAUUACCCUCAAGUUUUACUACGGGCCUACGCUAUAUGAUCCAAAAUUAUCAAGAUGUUAUUGCCAUAUGUAGGAAUUGUGGUCCUCCAGAUUUAUUUAUCACUUUUAUGUGCAAUGCACAGUGGCAGGAAAUACGCGAUGCCUUACAAUUUGUUCCAAGUCAAAGAGCAGAGGAUAGGCCUGAUAUUGUUAGUAGAGUUUUCAAGAUGAAAUUAGAAGCGUUAAUGGCCGAUAUAAAGAAGUGUCAUUUUUUUGGCAAAUCAAUUGGUGGUACGUGCUGAUACCAUUUAUUAGCUUUCAAUUUUUUCUAUAAAAUUCAUAAAUAACACUAAAGAUGAAUUAUCCUCAACUAUUUUUACGUUCAUCAACUUAUUGCAGAAUUAUAUACCGUGGAAUUUAAAAAAAGGGGGCUUCCACAUGUACACAUCUUAGUGUGGUUGGACGCUGAACAUAAGUAUUUAACAAAUAUUGCAAUAGAUUCGAUUAUUUCAGCCGAGAUACCCCAAAAGGAUGUUGAUCCAAAUGGUUAUGCAGUUGUCACAAAAUUUAUGAUGCACGGUCCAUCUGGGUUGGCAAGACCAGAAGCACCCUAUAUGGUAAAAGGACGCUGCUCAAAAUGAUUUCCAAAAGAAUAUAACAGUGAAACAAUAAUAAGUGAUAAUGGUUUUGCUAUAUAUAGGAGAAGAAAUACUGAGCAAACAGUUACUAAGAAUGGUUUUGAACUUGAUAAUAGAUUUGUUGUGCCCCAUAAUUUGCCACUGCUUAUUAAAUAUCAGGCACAUAUUAAUGUUGAGUGGUGUAACAAGUCCAGGCUUAUAAAGUAUUUAUUUAAAUAUAUUAACAAGGGUCUAGAUCGAAGCAGUUUCAUUACAGAAAAUAAUAUCAACCAUGCAAGCUCUAGCUCUGAACAACGAUAUAAACAGGUUGAUGAGAUUAAACAAUACCUAGAUUGCCGAUAUUUAUCAGCGUAUGAGGCUGUUUGGAGAUUAUUUGAUUUUGAUAUUCACUUUAGGCAACCAUCAGUUGAGAGAUUAACUGUUCAUCUAUCGAUGAUGAAUAAUAUUAUCUAUCGUGAUGGCCAAAACUUGGUAGAUGUGCUUAAUCGUCCUAAUAUUGAUAAAACAAUGUUCACAGCAUGGAUGGAAACCAAUUUAGGCUGUGAGGAUGCUCGCCAACUUAUGCAGAAUUUCCUACUAAAUGGGUAUGGCAUUCAAGAGAUAAAUUUUGGUCACAACAAAAACCAUGUAAUCGCAUAGGGAGGAUAGUAUAUGUCCAUCCAAGUACAGGAGAGCUUUACUUUUUAAGAAAUGUUUUAAAUGUUGUGAAAGGCCCGAGAAAUUAUGAGAUUAGAACUGUAGAUGGCAUUAUUCAUGAAAUGUUUCGAUCUGCAUGUGAUGCUCUUGGGUUACUUGGUGAUGAUAGGGAAUGGAAAGAAGCAUUAAGAGAGGUAUCAUUUUGGUCUUCUGCAGGUCAACUUAGGCAACUAUUUGUGACCUUAUUGAUAUUUUGUGAAGUAUCAAAUCUGGUUAAAUUAUGGGAUGAAUAUUGGAAAUUGUUGGCUAACGAUAUUCUUUAUAGAUUGAAAAUUGUUCUUGGGGUUCAAAAUCUUAGAAUGCCUGAAAUUGAAUUGCAGAAUAAUGUUCUAUUUGAACUUGAAAUUUUGCUCAAUAAUAAUUCAAGUUCACUUGCGCAUUUCAAGCUUCCUAUUCCUAAUAAGUUGAUUGUUGAUCAGUUGAAUAACAAGCUUCUUGGAGAAGAAAUAAAUUAUAAUGUAGAUGAAUUAGCCCAGGAGUCUGCACAGUUGUUUGAUGGAUUGAACAAUGAGCAAAGAAAUAUACAUAAUGCUGUCUUAAUUUCUAUCUACGAAAAUCUUGGGGAUGUAAUAUUUGUUCAUGGACAUGGUGGAAUAGGUAAAACUUACCUCUGGAAGACUAUAAUUUCAAAAUUACGCUCAGAAGGUAGAGUUGUGUUGGUUGUUGCUUCUUCGGGAAUAGCAUCGCUAUUAUUACCAGGCGGCCGAACAGCCCACUCAAGAUUUAAAAUCCCUAUUAAAAUUGAUGACUGCUCAAUUUGUGAAAUUAAGAAAGGUACAUAGCUUGCAAAGUUGAUUUCACAUGCUAGCUUAAUUAUUUGGGAUGAAGCACCUAUGAAUUACAAAAAUUGUUUCGAAGCCUUAGAUAAAUCAUUAAAAGAUGUUUUGGAAUCAGAUGGUCCAACUGCUUCCCAGAAACUUUUUGGUAGAAAAAUUGUUCUUCUAGGAAGGGAUUUCAGACAAAUACUUCCAGUCGUCGUAGGUGGUACACGACAUGAUAUUCUUAAUGCAUCACUUACUAGAUCUUAUAUAUGGAGCAAGUGUAAAGCGUUCCAUCUCACUAGAAAUAUGAGGUUGUUACAACGUUCUUUAAAUGAUUCGUUGAAUUCAUCUUUAACAGAGUUUGCUAGAUGGAUGCUUGAUGUUGGUGAUGGAAAAAUACCUACUAUUAAAUUAGAUGGGGAAGAAGAAGGCACCUGGAUCAAAAUUUCUGACGAUAUGCUUAUUAAAGAUGUUAAUAAUGGAAUUGAGAGUAUUGUUGCAGAAAUAUACGAUAAUCUUGAAGAAAAUUACAACAAUCCUAACUACUUAAAAGAUAGAGCCAUUGUUACACCCAUAAAUGGAAUAGUUGAUGAGAUUAAUUCAUAUGUACUGACUUUGGUGUUAUCAGAAGAGCGGCGGUAUUUGAGCUCGGAUUCGAUAUGUAAUUCAUCAAAGAAUGCUGAAGAUAAUGAUAUACUCUAUCCUGUAGAUUUUUUUAAUUCAUUGAAAUUCAAUGGAGUCUCCAAUCAUGAACUAACAUUGAAAGUGGGAGCUCCUAUAAUGUUGCAUCGCAAUAUUAACCAAAGUUUCAGUCUCUGCAAUGGCACACGGUUAGUGAUAACUCAGCUGUUUCCUAGAAUUAUUGAAGCAGAAAUUUUUACAGGCAACCAUAUUGGCGAGAAGGUUUACAUCCCCCACAUAGUAAUGAAUGUAACAGAUUCAAAGUGGCCAUUCAUAUUGAAAAGAAGACAAUUUCCAGUACGUUUGAGCUACGCAAUGACAAUUAAUAAAAGCCAAUUGCAAACAUUACAAAAAGUUGGCCUUUAUUUACCGCAGCCUGUAUUUUCUCAUCGGCAACUUUACGUGGCAAUUUCUCGAGUUAUUUCAAAGGAAGGAUUGCGAAUUCUCAUUAAAAAUAAGGAAGGAGAACCUGAAGGGUAUACAAGAAAUAUUGUUCAUAAUGAAAUAUUUCAGGAUUUGUAAUUCUUAGUUGUUUAUGCUGUAGUAAGUAUCGUUUUUUACUAAAUACCUUAAUCGUGUUGUAUGCAACAUUGUUUUUACCCGAUGUUGUAUGCUAUAUUGUUCCUUUUAUUUCUUUACUUUCUCUUAUUUUUUUUGUUAAUUUUCACGCAGGAUAACAAAAUUGUAAUGGAAUACACACUUUUAUCAGAAUUAUCUUUGCAAUGCCAAAAUUACAAAAUCAAAGUGCGGAAUGUCGAAUUUGGGAAUCAUCUGCUCCUUUUUUGAAAGGAGAUAUAUUUGGUUUAGAUUGUCUACUCAGAUGAAAAGGUGAAUAUGCUCACAUUUUUAGUAAACUUUUCUUUUCUUUCUUCUUUAUGCUCACUAUACUUUUUCAAAUAAGAAUUUUAUAAUGGGAUAAUAAUUAGGGCUACUCCUUGCAAGCAACGAUUCGUAAACAAGAUGCAGAGGAAGUAAGAAGUCAACUUACAGAGGGCAAUAUAUAUCAAAUAGAGAAAUUAAAUGUUAUUCCGAGCAAGAAAAAGUUUGUCGUUGUUGAUCGCCUUUAUAUGAUUCAAACCAAUAAAUGGACCAAGCUAACCCAAAUUAACGAAGAUAUAAGCACACUUCCCUUAUACAGCUUUAAUUUCUUAAGUUUCUCUCAAGCAGAAAACCACAGAUACAAUGAUACUGCUCUCACUGGUAAUAUUUAUUUAUGACACUAUAAAAACAUUUUCAGUUUGUCAUGAAAAUUUCAUAUUUUAGCGCCCUAGUUACAUUAACAUUUCUCAAUUUUUUUAGAUGUUCUCGGACAAAUAUCAGCUAUCAGUGAAAUUACACAUAAAUAUGUUGGCCAAACACUUACCCCGAUUAGAAAUUUAGAAAUACAAGAUUUGGAGUAAGUUAAAUACCUUAUUUCAUGUUCUUUUCUUGAAUUUUAGAUUUGAUAAUUAUAUACAUAUUCUUUAAACAUGAUGAAUGUUUUGUCUGUUACAUUAUGGGAUCAAUUUGCUUUGGAUUUUGAUGAUGACGAUAUUUCAGAGAAAGAGAGAAAUAGGCCAAUUAUAAUAGUCCUUGCUAGAAUGAUGUUCGCUCUUUUAGAGGUUUGCAUCUAUCGUGCUAUAAAAUAAAAUUAUGUUUUUCUCUCACAUAAUUUUCCUAGCUAUUAAUUAUUGUAUUCUUUUAUGCCAAUGUAGAAAGGAUACAUCUAUCGGCAUGUUCAGCCUCAAAAAUUUACAUUGACUUGAAAAUUCGAGAAGUGUCUGAAUUUCUAAAUAGGUUUGACAAUCUAAAUAUCUAAUAUAAAUAUAUAUAUGCAUGUUUAAUAUGUUAAAUAUUGAUUUACAAUAAUAUGCCUUAAUUAUUAUAUUAAUUAAUUAUGUGUAGGUUACAGACAGUGGCUAAUUCAAUUCAACGAAUUACCACCACCGGUAAGGACGAACUUAUUAGUCCUCAAGAAGAAAUGUGUAUGAAUAGAAAAAAAUUACUGAAUUGUUACAGAUCCAUCAAUCCGAUAUAUAGGUAAAUUUAUUUCUAAAAAUAUUAAUUUCUACUACUGUAUACAUUUAUGCCCUUUUUUAUAUAAUUUUUUAUCUUUUUUUUAUUAAUAAAACAUGAAGUUUAUCUGUAAAGCUAAAAUUGCUGAAAUCGAUACAUCAUUUGGCUAGUGGUACAAAGCUUGCUAUAAUUGUAAAACAACAAUCAAAACAUAUGAUGAUACUUUUUGGUGCUCCAAUUGUGGUAAAAAUGAUCAAACUCCUAUACCAUGGUACUUAUCUUUCUUAAUAAUAUAUCUUUAAUUUUUUUAAAAAAUAUUGAGUAAUAUUGUUUCACUUAAAAUUAAUAUGAUUUAAUGUAUUUGCUGAAAAUAGGUACAGAUUAAAUACUAGUGUUGAAGAUAAAACUGGUUCGUGUAAUUUUACUAUCUUCGGAAAGUUUGCACAGGAUUUGGUUUGUUCUCCGGCUCAGAAUCUAGCCACUUUACCCGGUUCAGAUAAAUUUACUCUUCCACCUGUAGUAAAAAUAAUUAUUGGUGAAAAACACAUCUUUCAAGUGGUACCCGACACACCAAAAUUUAAGUCAAGUCUUCCUUCUUUUAAGGUGUUAAAAAUUUUUCUCAAAAUUUGGACACUAGGGGUAAGUCCUCUACGAAAAAAAAAUUUUAUUUGUUGAAUGUGAAGAGCACCUUGAUUCACCUGCUACCAACAAACAAAUCCGCGAAGAUUUAUUUGAAGAGCCAUCACCAGGAGCCGGCGUUUCAUCAAAGUAAUAAAACUAUACUUCUAUAUAUUUUAUAGUUAUUGUUAGUGUAAUUUGUAUAAAUUCUUCUAAUUUUUAUAAAAUUUUGUUAAAGCAGUCCUAUACAACCUUCUGCAGACUUUGAUGAAAUCCAACCUGCAAAAAGACGGCGCCUUAUGUAAUGUCUAAUGUUAACUUAUUUUCAUAUAUUUUCAUAUAUAUAAUGACAUUCUUUAUAUAUAAGAUUUUUUUAAAAAAAAUACCUCUAAUUGAUUUGCAGGAUAGAGGAAGAUUCGUCAAAUGAAGAUUGAUGAUUUGCUAACUGCUUACAUUUACUAUUUGUUGGUUUGCUUACAUUUACUAUUUGUUGGUUUGUUUGAAGCUCUAUGCUUCAAACAAUCAUUGUGGUUUAAAACUAUGAAAACUUAUUUCAGAUUUGUAUUUUGGUUUAAAACUAUGUGGCUCUCUUUAUUUCGAAUUUGUAUUUUGGUUUAGAACUAUGUGUUGGUUUGUUUAAAGAUGCAUUUUAGAUUUCAUAUAUUCUGCUAUGUAUUUGAUUGUGUUUGAAUAUUAUUUUGAUCAUUGUGGUUUAAAACUAUGUGCUGGUUUAAGAUGCACCUAUUUAUAUUUAUGAUGAUCUACUUAUAUUUAUAAUGAUAUUAUUACUCCAUUUUCAGAUGAUUACUGUUCAAUUUAUGGACCUAUUGUCAUUCCUUCUUACUUUCAUAUGUUCUCCGAACAGAGUAACAUUAGACAAAAUAAGUAAUUACUUAUUUUGAUCAUAUGUAAUUACAUAUGAUCAUAUACUUUCUAGUUUUGAUCUAAGCUAAAUAUAUGUUUGCAUAUUAUAUAAUUACAUAUUUUAUUAUCAUUUCAAAAUAUAUAUUAAAAUAAUUAGUAUUAUUCAAGCUAAAAAUUAUAUAUUUUAUUGUCAUUCCAUAUUUCUUUUUUUGUCUCUUCUUCUCCUCCUUUUUCUCCUCCUUUUUCUUAAUUACAUAUGAUCAAAACUAUUUUAAAAUUUACAUCAAAAUAUUAGCGUUAAAAUUGCCCGCAGCGAAACGCGGGUUCAACACUAGUCUCAAGAUAAUGAGCAGGUUUAUCAUUUUUUUUUAUCUUGUUUUAUCGAACUGCUGUUGCAAAAUUCAUAAUGUCUGUAUCAAUUUUCAUACAUCCAGUAAUGCAAGAUUGAAUUACUCGACUCGGUACUUUUAAGGGUAAUGCAAGAUUGAAUUACUCAACUCAGUACUUUUAGGGUAAAAUGCAGGAGAUUUCUCAACCAUUUGGUGCAGUCAUGGCAUCUGGCUUGAUACCAUAAUCGACAGUAAAACUGAUGAACAAACAAACACCCAACACUAAUUCAACAAUGCAUCCCAGGUUACUGCUCACUGCUCACUACUACAAACAUAUAUAAAAUCCAAGUACACUAUAAAGUACUGAUGAUAAUAAACCUGUGUAACUCAGCUACAUAACAUUUGUAUGACGAAGCUUGUUUCUACGAAGAUAAUCGCACACAUACACAUGGUAAGUCCCGCUGAAUAACAUAAAUGAUACAAAAAUUUACAACAGCCUCAAAAUCAACCACAAUAAAAUGUGUUUUUCCUAUAGGGAGCAACUACUAGAGCUAACUUACUAGAGCUGGGAACUCGAACUCGCCGAACGUUUGGAAGAUCUGGAUCUUGAACAGGAUCUGCAAAGAAAUUGGAGAAACAACAGCCAAAUCAUUAUCGGUUAUCUGGUUCACCCUAGUCAUGUUCCUAAAAAAUUGAUUUAGGCCUAGUUUGGAAUUGUGAUGUCUAAAAGCAUUUGUUUUCAUGUUUUCGGAGACCCAAAAAAAAAAAAAAACCAAAUACAUCUCUAAUUUUUCCUCGUCCAAUGUUAAUGUUACAAAAUUGCAGAGGGAACUGCCACAAGAGAAGCAAAUUUGCCACCGAAAUUUUACAGCAUUGGAGGAACAAAGAUUGGAAGCACUCCCGAAUUGUUUGAACCUUCAAAAACAUAGAAGCGAGUGCUUUUGGGAUCACAAUACCAAACUAGGCCUUAGUAAGCCGAGUAGGGUUGUAGAUAUCUCAUAAUCUUUGACAACCUAAACAAGCUUGAUUUUACCCCAAUCCUCACAUUCAUGAUUUCGAUUUUCCAGAAUAAAUGCAUCCCACCUAUAAGGUAGAUAAAAAAGAAGAAGACUUGAAAGUCCACAUAAACAAUGUGGUUAUAGACAUCUUUUGGUGCUAAUCAACCAAUUACCACAUGUGGCCUUUCACUAAAGCAUUUUUAAAUUUAUAAUCAUGCAUACAAACAGAUCAGUAUGAAGGACAACAUCAAACACUACAGAAGAAAGCGUACUCUGAUGUCCUCAACGAGAGCGAGAUGAAACCGAUCGUGACCGAGACCUAAACAAUCAAGAAAACUGAUGAAUGAUUCAGUGUUAAUGAACAAGAAGAACUGCUUGGUAUGGACCAAACCUUUCACUCCUUUCACUCCUGCUCCUGCUUCUGCUGUAACCGCUACUGUAGCUAGGGCUCCUACUUCUCGAGUAAGAAGGGCUAGGGCUAGGGCUCCUAGAUGGGCUUCGUCGGUAUUCCCUAACCUGCAUUAGCGGAUGAAAAUUAGUGUUCAGCGAUGCAACCACAAGAAAAAGGCGCCGCUACGUUAUGUUACCAAGAGCGAGUUUAUAUAAC